This 63757-nucleotide long non-coding RNA is filed under the name Gossypium raimondii (Peruvian cotton). Its description in RNAcentral is "long non-coding RNA (GRAI_LNC007809)". Lineage: Eukaryota; Viridiplantae; Streptophyta; Magnoliopsida; Malvales; Malvaceae. The record is from RNAcentral.
CAAUCUUAUCUUGUGGAGGCCAGAUGGACUCUUCAAAACUACAAACCAUCAUUCGAGGAGUUUAAGGCUAAUGCAUUGCCAACUUGUGGUUAUGCCAUGCUUGCUAUUACAUCUUUCGUCGGCAUGGGAGAUAUUGUAACACCAGAAACCUUUAAAUGGGCAGCCAAUGACCCUAAGAUCAUUCAAGCUUCCACAAUUAUUUGUAGGUUUAUGGAUGAUGUUGCUGAACACAAGGUAUAAUAAUAUAUUUAAAUAAUCACAAGAAACCAAACUAUUAACUCAAUAACGAUGGUUUUUGUCACGAUUUGAAACAAUUAAAGUUUAAUGUUUAUAUAUCAAAUGUUUAGCCUUAAAUCGAAGAAUAAGAAAAGAUAUCUAGUUUCAUUUUAAAAAUAUAUAUAGUUUAACAAACGAAUAGAAUUUAGGUUAUAUAGUGAUUGAAUAAUUUUUAUUUUAUUAUGGUUGCAGUUCAAACAUAGGAGAGAAGACGAUUGCUCAGCAAUUGAGUGUUACAUGGAAGAAUAUGGUGUAACAGCACAAGAGGCAUAUGAUGUAUUCAACAAGCAUGUUGAGAGUGCUUGGAAGGAUGUGAAUCAAGAGUUUCUGAAACCAACAGAAAUGCCAACAGAAGUUUUGAAUCGUAGCUUAAACCUUGCAAGGGUGAUGGAUGUACUCUACAGAGAAGGUGAUGGCUACACAUAUGUUGGAAAAGCGGCUAAGGGUGGAAUCACUUCAUUACUCAUUGAACCAAUUGCACUUUGAAAUCGUAUUAAAUUUUCCUCUUCUGUUCCUUAAGGAAUAGUUAUUAAGUUAUAAUUAAUAAUGUUUUAUAAUAUAUAUAUUAUAAAAGAAAUUCUAAAUCAACUGUCUUUGUAUUCAUUUCCCUGUAUUGAUCUAAUAAAGUUCUUUUCAAGCUUUCAUUUGUGAAAAAUCUGCUAUUUUAUAUUUUAUAUUUUAAUUUUCCUUCUUUCGUUGCUAUAGCUUUGAACACAAAAUUUAGAGUAUGAUCCUAUCAUGCUCUUCCUUUUUACCAACAUUGUUGUCACUUUCAAUGAUUUUUCUCUUCUUCGCCAUAACAUUAUCAUCAAGAUUGCAUGUGAUAAAGUUUUGCCAUUCAGAUAGCCUUUUCAAGGCUCGCCACUAGAAGCUCACUUAAAUAGGGAUACUUGUUAAUAAAAUAUGUUUGUUGUCCUUGUUUUUAGGCAUAUAUUUGCUGCACAUCAAGGAUUUAGUGGCUACAGAUCAUGGGUUUAUUUGGUUUAGAUUUUUUUUCCUUAGUUGUUAAGAGUCCUAUUCUGAGUCGUUUGUUGUUAGUGUGCGAUUUCUUGAUUUUUCUAUCAUGUAAUUGCCUAUAUAAUAGGUUCUUGAGGUUGUGAAUAAAUGAGUUGAUCAUCUUAUUUUCCCUUUCCUUUAUUUUUUUCAUCUUGCUGUUAUCUCCUUAGUAAGCUAAUAGUUGUGUCAGAGCCUGGUAAAAGAAGAGUAUUUUCGGUGAGAGAAAAAUGUUUAUGGUCCUCUUAUGGCUUUUGAAAAUUGUUUGCAACUACCUAUUCCACAUUUUGACGGUCACUAUGACCAUUGGAGAUGUUGAUGGAGAACUUAUUAUAGUCCAAGGAGUAUUGGCAAGUCAUUAAGCACGGUAUAGCAACACCAACAGAUGGAGAAAAGCUUACAGAAUACAACAAAAAAGACUUGAAGGGGCUGAAGUUCAAAGAUUUGAAAGCAAAGAAUUACUUAUUUCAAGCUGUUUCGAUCCUAGAAACCAUUCUUUGCAAAGAAACUUUCAAGGAUAUUUGGUACUCCAUUAAGACAAAAUGUCAAGGCUCUUCCAAAGUGAAGCGUGCAUAGCUUCAAGCUCUUUGGAAGGACCUUGAGGUUCUUCGGAUGGAGGAUGGUGAGUCCAUUAUAGACUAUUGUGCAUGAACCAUGGGAAUCAUGAGUAAUAUGUGAUUUCAUGGUGAGAAGAUGAAUGACACAACCAUUGUUAAGAAGAUACUACGGUCCUCAUCACCAAAGUAUGAUUAUGUUGUCUACUCAAUUGAAGAAUCCAAUGACAUUGAUGCACUCACCAUUGAUGAACUCCAGAGUUCCUUGUUGGUCCAUAAAUAGAAGAUGAAUAGAACUUCUACCCCCAAUGGAGCAGGCUUUGAAAGCUUCAACUCAUUCUUUCAAAAGAAGAAAUGGAGGUCAAGGAAAGGGAAGAGACAGAUGAGACAGUUGGAAUAAAAAUAGUGGCAGGUAUGCCAGAUCAGAUGAUAAAGGCAAACAACAAGAUCGACAAUUUGACAAGUCAAAGGUAGAAUGUUUUGGAUGUUAUAAGUUUGGUCAUUAUUGUUUUGAAUGUCGUACUAAUCUAUCAAUGAUAAGGAAAAGGGAGAAAAGUCAAAAUUUUCAUAAAAAGAAGCUAAAACCUUGUUAAUGGCAAUUCAUGACAAGCAAGAGAAGCCACAAAACUCAUGUUUAUGGUAUGUGGAUACAGGCUGUAGCAACCACAUGUGCGGUAAUAAGUUUUCUUUCUCUUAUCUAAAUGAAGACUUUCACAUUAAUGUGCCUUUUGGAGAUAAAUCUAUUGUUGAUGUAGUGGGAAAGGGUGGUAUUAGUAUAAGAACCAAUAAUAGUUUUGUAGAAACAAUGUCCCAUGUUUUCUUUGUGUCUGCUUUGAAAACUUAUUAAGUGCUGGUCAAUUGCAAGGAAAAAGAUAUGUGAUUACGGUAUCAAAAAGUGAUUGUGAAAUUUAUGAUCCUUCUAGAGGUGCUAUUGCAGUGGUUCCAAUGAGUUCCAACAGGUUGUUUCCAUUAGUGAUUGAUUGUUUUCAACCUUGCUUGAUGGCUAAAGUGAAGGACAACACAUGGCUUUGGCAUUUUUGAUGUGGUCAUCUUAAUUUUGAGGGUUUGAAGACUCUUUGGUAGAAAGAGAUGGUCAACGACCUCCCUCAGAUUGUCAUUCAAACCAUGUGUGUGAAGAUUGUGUUGUUAGCAGACAACAUCAUGAACAAUUUCCCAAAAUAAAGUUUUAGAUAGCAAAACAUGUGCAGGAAUUGGUCCAUUUAGAUAUCUGUGGACCAAUAAAACCAUAAUCUAAUGGAGGUAAAAUUUAUUUCUUUACUUUCAUCGAUGAUUAUUUCCAAAAAUUGUGGGUUUACUUUUUGCAGGAGAAAUCGGAAGCAUUUAGUGCAUUUACUAGCUUCAAGGCACUUGUUGAGAAUGAAAUCGGGAAAACCAUUCAAGUUCUUCGCAUUGAUUGUGGUGGAGAAUAUUGUUUCAAGGAAUUUGAAGCAUUUUGUGAGAGCCAUGACAUCUGGAAAAAGCUUACCACUGCAUAUACCUCCCAAAAAAAUAGCGUAUAAGAGAGGAAAAACAGAACCAUACUUAAUAUGGUGAAAAGCAUGCUUGCUAGUGGAAGGGUCUUAAAAUAAUUUUGGGCAAAAGGAGUAAAUUGGAGCAUCCAUGUCUUGAAUAGAAGCCCAACUUUUGCUGUUCAAAACAUGACACCUGAAGAAGCUUGGAGUGGAAGGAGACCAGCUGCAGAUCACUUCAAAAUUUUUGGUUGCAUUGCUUAUGCACAUGUUCCAAAUGUAAAGAGAAAGAAGCUUAAUGUCAAAGGAGAGAAGCGUGUCUUUCUAGGUGUAAGUGAAACAUCUGAAGUGUAUAAAUUGUUUAAUCCUUUAAAGGAGAAAAUUGUGAUUAGCAGGGAUGUAAUUUUUGAUGAGGAGAAUACUUGGAAUUGGGAUGACAAACAACCUUUUCAAACCUUUGUUGGUACUGAAGUUGAAGAUGAAAAGCAGUAGCCUUUAGAUUAGUAGACUCAAGCAACACUUAAGCUUAAGAGUUCACCAAAUAAUACUCUAAUAAGUAGUUGAACCUCAUCCUAGCUAUAUUUGACGGAGACCAGCUUGGAUAGGAGAUUUUUAGGUAAUCAGCGUUGGGCAGACUGAAGAUCCAACCAUCUAUUUUGCUUUAUUUGCGGAUUGUGAUCUAACAACCUUUGAAAGUGCUGUAAAUGAGUCAAAAUGGAGAAAAACAAUGGAUGAAAAAAUUGCAGUAUAGAGAGGAAUGAUACAUACAAGUUCACUAAACUUCCAAAAAGGCACAAGACAAUUAGUGUCAAAUAGGUGUACAAGACAAAGUUGAAGGAGAAUGGAGAAGUUAAUAAGUAUAAGGCACAUUUGUGGCUAAAGGUUAUAAAUAGGAGUUUGGGGUAGAUUACAAAGAAGCCUUUGCUCCUGUUCCAAGGCAUGAUACAAUCAGAUUGGUGAUUUCACUUAUAGUCUAAUACUCUUGGCCUAUCUUCCAACUAGAUAUGAAUUCGACAUUUUUACAUGGUGAGCUCAAAGAACAGGUUUUUAUUGAACAACAUACUGGUUAUGUUAAACAUGAAAGUGAAAAUAAAGUUUAUAAACUAAAAAAAGGCUUUAUAUGGGUUGAAACAAGCCCCACAUGCUUGGUAUAGUCGAAUUGAAGCUUAUUUCUUGAAAGCUGGUUUUCCCAAGUGUCCUUAUGAGUCUACUCUUUUCAUUAAAACUGGUGAUAAAAGGAAAAUACUUAUUGUGAGUUUAUAUGUUGAUGGUUUUAUUUUCAUUGGAAAUUGUAGUUCCAUGUUUAAUGGAUUCAAGAAGUCUGAUGGUUGAGUUUAAAAUGUCAGAUCUUAGUAUGAUGCAUUAUUUUCUAGGCAUAGAAGUAGUGCAAUCAACUAAUGGAAUAUUUUUUUCUCAAAGGAAAUACAUUCAAGAUAUUCUGAGCAAGUUUGACAUGAAGGAUUGCAAUCUAGCAAGCACCACCAUUGAGUUUGGCUUGAAGUUGAGCAAAGAAGGAAAGUAAGUGGACAACACUUUUUAUAAGCAGAUUGUAGGCAAUUUAAUGUACUUGAUUGGUACAAGACCUGACAUAAUAUAUUUUGUGAGUUUGAUCAGUAGGUUUAUGGAGAAUCCUACAGAGAUGCAUUUAUUGGUUACUAAGAGAAUCCUUCGUUACUUGCAAAGAACCAUAUAUUUUGGGUUGUUUUACAAAAAAGGAGAAUUUUAAUAUCUAUUUAGGUUCAUUGACUGUGACUGUAGGAGAUCUAGAUGAUAGAAAAAACACUUCAGUUUAUGUUUUCAUGAUGGGAAUCGGAGUUGUUUCAUGGUCAUCCAAGAGGCAAUCUAUUGUUCCUUUGUCAACAACUGAAGCUGAAUUUGUUGUUGCAACAACCUGUGCUUGUCAAGCUAUUUCGUUGAGAAAAAUCUUGGAGGAGCUGAAAUUCAAGAGAAUGGGAGCUACAAUAAUUUUUUGUGACAACAACUCAGUUAUCGGAUUCUCAAAAAAUCCAGUAUUACAUGGUAGAAGCAAGCAUAUUGAUGUGAAGUACUAUUUUUGAGAGAUCUUAACAAUGAUGGGGUAGUUGAUCUUAAAUGCUGCAAGAGUAAAGAUCAGCUGGAUGACAUAUUCACCAGACCUGGCAAAUUAUUUCCCUUAUUGUGAGUCCUAUUGUGAGCCUUAUUAUGUUAGUGCCUAAUUUCUUGAUUUUUCUGUUAUGUAAUUGCAUAUAUAAUAGGUUUUUGAUGUUGCGAAUAAAUGAACUGAUCAUCUUAUUUUCCCUUUCCUUUAUUUUUUUCAUAUUGCUGUUAUCUCUCUUAGUAAGCUAACAGCACCUUCACCUCUUUAAGCCCUACCAUUAUCAACUUGCCCUUUAGAAUCAGUGCUACAAAGCUCUCCUUUCAAACUCACCAAGAAGCUCCACCAACAAAAUGUCUACACCAUCAACAUCACCUCUCUAGGCAAGCCAAUGACAACACAUUACACCUUGCCCAAAAAUAUUAUCUCAUGGAAGGCCACUUUAUAAUCUCUUGCUCAAUUGCAAUAGAGGGGUGAUCCACCCAAGCACACUUACAUAAAAAUGGAACAAAUAAAAUCAAUUAUAUCAACAACGUAGGCACCACAUUAUCAUAAGCAUGAUGGUGUCAAAUUAUAAUAUAGUAGUUACAAUGGAACACUUACAUAAGUACUCCAAGGAUCAUUCUUCCACAUGGAUUGAUAAAGGAAGUCCAUAACCAAACAAACAAAUUUGGCCAUUACAAAUACAAUGAGGUAAACUUAAAUGAUCUUUGAAUAGUUAGGUGACCAAAGGGUAAACUUACUAGUUGUUGAGUGGCUAUAAGUGUAGUUUACCAAUUCUUUAAUGUUUAAGAUUACUUUUGUUUAAAUCUUACCUUUUUGCUUCAAAAUUAUUGGUGUUCUUGGUUGGUUGAAAAACUAGAGGAAUGGGAGGAAGGAGUGGAAAAGUGGAAAGAAAAUAAAAUUUAAUUGUACUUCGUAGGGAAUAAAAGUGAGAGAAAAGAAAAUAGGAGAGAUAAUCAUUUUUCAUCUUAAUGCAUAGAAAUCAAUCCUUCCAAAUUGGAAAGAUGAGAGGAGAGAAUAUUAUAAAGAUGUGUAUGUUAGUUUAAAAUUAUGCUAUUUUCUUUCAUUUCAUUUUUUAACUCUAUCAAACAAUAGAGGGAAAGAAAAUUACUUUGUUUUUCCACUUUUUCAUUUCUCCUAUCAAACACAACUACGGAAAGAAAAUUUAUGUUUUCCAUCCUUCUAAUUUUCAACCCCUUCAAUAUUCCAUCUUUCCAAUUUUCUUUCCACUCCAACAAGCAAAGCGAAAAUGUCUAGAGACAAAAUUGUUGACUUUUAUAAUUGUUAUAACAAACGUCGAUAAUGACAAUAGCAUGAUCGCAAAGUAUGAAAAAAAUAAGAACACACAGAUUUUACGUGGAAACCCUUUCGGGAAAAAACUACGGACAAAGGAGAAGAAAUUUACUAAUGUUGAAAAACGAAUAAUACAGGAGAAGUUUCGACUACAUCUAUUAAAAAGGUUAAAAAAUCCUAUUAUAAUCAAUAUCAAAUAGAAUAAAUAUAGUUCUUCAACAAGUGACGGGAUUUGGGUCACACAAACUCUAACAAUAAUUAAUGAAUUAAUUUAGUCUUUUACUUCAUAAUACAAUGACCCACAUUGUGAAAUUUCCAUUUCUGUUUUAGAAAAUUUCUAAAAAAAAGUUGUUUAGAAAUAAUCUUCUCAUGAGUUGUAAGUAAAAAAUCCAGUAAUAUUAUUAAAUAUUUAGUAAUAUUACAAGAAAUCUGUAUUCCUAAUAUAAGUAGCUUUGUAAAAGACUUAGUAAUUUACAUUGUAAGAAAUUCAAUAAUUUAUUGAAAAUGUUACAAUGUUGUAGCAAAUUCAGUAUUUUAAGUAGCCCACACUAAAUCUUUUUUAAAAUUACUGAAUUUAUAAUAAUUACUGAAUUACUUACAUGAUUACCAAAAAAAACUUCAACUAUUACUGAAUUCAUUAUGACAUUUUUUAUUUAUCUAAUUUCUUAAGGAAUUCUAUCAGUAAUUCAAUAAUUCUUUAAGAGUUUUAGUAAUUCAGUAUUUUUACGAAAUUUAGUAAUUUACGAAAUUAUGAAAAAUUAGGUAAACAUUAAAAUGUUUUAAGAUAUUCAAUAAUUGAUUUAGGUUAUUCAAUAUAUUUUAAUUUUAAUUUUAGUUUGGCCAUAAUAAGCACUUUUGUUCCUUGGGUUUGUGGGUUUGCUGCAAAUUAGAAAGGUUUCAUCAAUUUUUUAUUUAUUUCUCUAGGUUAUUAGAGUGAAUUCAAUAAUUAAUCCUCCACAUUCAAUAGGUCCAUUAAGGGGUAGAUGCGGACAACGAGUUUUAAAAUUACUCCAUACCCAGGAUAAUAAUUGAACAUUGGGCCACUGGUUAAGAUAGAAGAGACCCUUAACAUCUCAUUUAACUCCUGUGGCUAAAGGGUUCGUUAAUUUUAACAAUAUGUUUUAAGCUUCGUUAUGAGUUAACCCUUCACUCUCCUAGCUACAGAACUAAACUAAAGCAUCAACUUCUAGCUCCCCUUACCAUCAUGCAAUGGUCAUUUCGUGCUUUCAUAAAAUAAAAGUCCAUUUCAAAAGAGAGAAAUCUGAAUAAAAGAUUCAUCAUUAGCAAUAAAAAACAUGAAGAAAUUGAGAAGAAAACAAAAGAAAGAAAAGAGACAUGCCCAUUUCAGAAGGUGGAAAGCCUAAACUUUAGUUUAGAUUUUUAGGGAUUUCUAAGAAGUUUUUUUUUCGAAAAUCAAGCAAAGGAUUGGAUUUGAAAUUUUAGUUUUUUUUUCAUAUAUAUUUUAGUUUUUUUAAAAUUUUUAUAUCAUUUUUAUUUAAAAAUUUUUAGGAACUAUAAAAAAGAAAUAUAUAUAUAUAGUGAUUAGUUCUGCAAUUCAACUUAAAUUUUUCAUCUAACAUAAUUACUUAACAUGUUACGUUAGCUUACUGUUAUUUUAUUAAUGAUAAUUAAUAGCUCAAUAACUAGAUAUUACAAAUCGAUAACGUUAGUGACCAUUUUGUAACAAAUUAAAAUCCAAUGACUAAAAUGUAAUUUAAACCAUAGAUAAAUGAAUAUUUUUAUAAUUUAUCCUAUAUAAUAUUAUAUAUAUGUACCUCAAGAAAAAAAAAUAUCAUACAUAUGCACGCCAAACUAUAUAUAUAUUUAAUGUUAAGUUUCUAAUAUACAAUAUUUAUAAUAUUUAUAAAAAUUAAAUUUUAAGUUUAAAAAUUAUGAAAAAUUUUAAAAAUCUAAAAGUUUCAAACUACACCAACUGACCACAUGCUUGUUGGAAAUACUUAAAUUCAAUGCACAAUAAAAUACUAAAAAGAAAGGAGUUAAUAUAUGUUAACUUUGUUGAUGUGGUAUAUAUGUAAAUUACUAUGUGAAUGAAAUCUCAACAAUUAAAAUUUUUAAAUUUUAGAAAGUUUAACCAAAUAUAUAAAAAAAUAUUUUAAAAUUUAAAAUCAUUUUAAAAAUUUUAAAAAUAUAUUUUAAAAAUUUUAAAAAUUAAUUAAUUGUUAACGUGGCACAUACGUGGAUGCCAUAGUAAUAAAGUUAACAAACAUUAAUUUUUCCAUCCAGUUUGGGAUGAUUUGACAAACAAUGCAAAUUCAAGAGCUAAAAGAGACGAAAAAUUAAAUGAAGAACUAAAAUGACAUUUUAUAAAGUUGAAGGGCUAAAUAAAUUAUUAUGCUUUUUUAAUAACCGUUAUUUCUUUCUUUUUUUUAACAUGCCAAAUUUAAAAUAUGUAUAUUAAAUAUUUAAUUUUAUAUUGUGUGCGAAAUUAAUUGAUUUGGUUUAAUAUAAAUAAAAAUGUAAUACUUAAUUACUCAGUAUUAGAUAAGUUUACUAUCAAUUAGUAAAAAGUAAUUAUAAUAAGUGAAAGUUAUUUUUAGAAUUUAAAGUUUAUCCAAAUGAAUUAUUAAUGCCAUUAGUAGAACUACGAAUGCACAAUAAGGGAAGAAUAUAUCAAUUUUAUUGAUAAAUCUAGACGCCUUUAGUGAAAUUUGCUGAUUCCCUUUGAAUAUUGUUUUUAAAAUUAUGAGUUCCAAAUAUAAAAUUCUAGUAUUGACUGAAUCAUACAACUAUAGAAUUCAAUUUGAAAAAAAUAUGUUAAAUUAAUUGUGAAAAAUACCUUAUUUAAAGAGUCAAGCCGACAUUUUUUUUUUCUUUCUUUUUAUUAUUAUAAAUAUGAAGUAAACAAACACCUGUUAAAUAAUUAUAUUCAUGUUGAAAUUAAAGCGUCCGGUGAAUUUAAAAAUUCUUUUUAGAGGGCCUGAAAAUGAAUUAUAUAUCGUUUCGAUAGUAAAAAAGUAAUUUCAUCAUUUUAAUAGUUUAUAUCUUUAUAAUUUUUAAAGAAUUAAAUCAAAAUUUAUUAUUUUUAGGGUCAAAGUACAAUUUUAUCAUUACUAAUUUGAAAUUUUAUAAAUUAUAAAAAACUUUAAAUAGAAAAUUUUCCAUUUUAAGGGGAACCGAAAUUCCUCUGGCUCCGCCCGACACACAUCACAGUUGCACAUAAUUAAUUAAUAGAUUAAAUCUUAUUACAUGUUUCUCAUUUUUAUUUCUUAUUUCAACGAAUUCAUCGUCACUAAGAUUGACUAAUUUGUCCUUUACAAUGAUCCAAAAGACUUUUCAACACUCUCAGUCUAAGGGGUUCCUCCGGAGUCCGUAUAUUAUGUUUCAAGUCAAUAAUUUUACUGUUUUUUUAUGGAUGCUGAAAAUAUGAUCAAUGUGCCCCUUUUCCCCCCUUAAAUUAUCUCAUUAUGCUGAAAAUUAUGUUAAAUUAAUUGUGAAAAUAUGUUAUUGAAAUAGUCAAGCCUUUUUUUUAAUGCUUUUACUAUUAUAAUGGCAGUACACUUGCAAAUAUAAAUUCAUGUUUAAGGCAAAGAAUUGAAAACAAUUCAUCAUUAGAUAUUUAUGAGUUAAAAGUUGGGUUGAGUCGAGAUCUAGUUUAAAAUAUUUUUCAAGUUUAAGUCUAUUUUCGGGUUAAAAAUUAAUAAAAUAUUAAAAAUAAAUUUUUAAUUGUUAUUUUAUAUAAUUUUAGAAUUAAAUUUUAAUUUUAAAAUAUUUUUUAUUAUUUAAAUUGAAUUCAAGUCAGGCCGGUUCGAACUGCAAAAAUUCUUGUCCAAAUCUGAUCUAAAAACUAAACUCAAUUACCCAAAUUAUUUAAAUUAUUUAUACUAUGUUAAUUAGCAAUUUAAAAAAUUUGUAAAAGUUGAACGUCGACAAUAACAAUAUAGAACGAUUGCAAAGCAAAAGAAAGAAAAAAUAAGAACACGAAGAUUUUACGUGGAAACCCUUUCGGGAAAAAAAGACCAUGGGUAGAGGAAAAAAAAAUUCACUAAUGUCGAAUUCGAAAGAUACAAGAGGAGUUUAGACUACGUCUAUUUAUAGGUUGAAAAAUCUUAUUCUAAUCAAUGUCAAAUUAUUAAAGAGUAGUAAGGUUAAAAAACCUUAUUCUAAUCAAUGUAAAGUAAAAGAAGUAUAGUUUUAUAUGAAUUUUAUUUUAUUUUUAUUUUAACAAGGACUCAAGUCACUCAACUCUAACAAUCUCCACCUUGACAUGAAUUCUCAACGAACAAGUUCUUCACCACGAACUCUUAACGAACAAGUUCUCCACCUAUCCCACGAAACCCUUUAAAGGGUGUUCUUCAACAAUGAAUACCAGUCAAGUCCAAGCAAUACUCAAACUUCUUGGUUAUAGGAAGUGGCUUAGUCAUCAUAUCCGUAGGAUUUUCAUGAGUACUAACUUUGCUCACAACAAUAUCACCACAAGCAAUAAUAUCAUGCACAAAAUCAUACCGAACAUCAAUAUGAUUUGUUCUCUCAUGAAACAUUUGAUCCUUCGUAAAGAAGAUGACACUCUGACUAUCACAAAACACUGUAUUGAUCUGAAGGUCUUUACUGAGUUCACCAAAGAGUCUCUUUAACCAAAUAGUUUUUUUACAAGCCUCGGUAAUCGCCAUGUACUCAGCUUUAGUAGUAGACAAAGCAACUGUAGUUUGCAAAGUAGCUUUCCAACUGAUUGUGCAACCUCCAAUUGUAAAGACAUACCCUAUGAGAGAUCUUCUUUUAUCAAGGUCUCCAGCAAAAUCAGAAUCAACAUAUGUAAUGACUCCAUCCCUAGUUCUUCCAAACUAUAAGCAAACAUUAGUAGUACCUCAUAAGUAUAUGAAAAUCCACUAAACUAUUUUCCAGUAUUCUUUAUUGGGAUUCGCCAUGUAUCUACUAAUUGCACUAACUAUACAUGACAAAUCUGGACAUGAGCAAACCAUAGCAUACAUGAGAGAUCCCAUUGCACUAGAAUACUGAUUGCAAAGACAAAACCGAUGAAAGUCUAAAGUGGGUUGCUAAUAGGGUCCUAAUAGGCUUGGCAUUCUGCAUAUUGAACAUGCAAAGAACUUUUUCAAUGUACCAUUUCUAACUUAGGUACAAUUUACAUGCUUUUCUAUCUCUGAGAAUCUCCAUCUCAAGUAUCUUCUUUACUGCUCCCAAACCCUUUAUCUCAAAUUCUUUAUUAAGUUGGGCUUUGACCUUUCUUAUCUCUUAUUUAUCUUUGGCUGCUAUCAACAUGUCAUCAACAUAGAAGAGUAGAUACACAAAAGAACCAUCACUGUUUUUCUUAAAAUAAAAACAACUGUCAAAGUUGCUUCUUUUGAAAUCAUGAGGAGUCAUAAAAAAAUCGAACCUCUUGUACCACUGCCUUGGUGACUGUUUCAAGCCAUAAAUGGACUUUUUCAACAAGCAAACAUAGUCAUCCUUUUCUGAUACAGUAAAAUCUUCUGGUUAUUGCAUGUAAAUAUCUUCCUCAGAUUCCCCAUGCAAGAACGUUGUAUUUACAUCUAACUACUCAAGCUCCAAAUCAUACAUGGCCACAAUACCAAAUAAGGCUCGAAUCGAAGUAUGUUUCACAACUGGAGAAAACAUAUCUAUGAAGUAUACACUUGAAAUCUGACUAUAACCUUUUGCAAUCAGCCUUGCUUUAUACAUGGGUUCUUCAACUUCAGAGUUCCUUAUUUCUUUUUGAACACCCAUUUACAACGAACAACCUUUUUACCUUUAGGAAAUCUUACUAGAUCCCACGUUCUAUUCUUAUAGAGCGAUUCCACCUCUUCUAGCGUGGCAAUCAUCCAUUUUCUUAAAUCUUCACAAUUAAUUGCCUCAGAAUAAGUAGAUGGCUUUUGAUUUGCAUCUAUAUCUUUAGCCACAUUUAAAGCAUAAGCAACUAGGUCGACCUCAACGUACCUCUUUGGAGGUUUAAUUUCUCUUCUAGGUUUAUUCUUGGUAGUAGAAUAUUGUGGUGAAGAACAACUCUACUCUAAGUUUUUAUACUAACUUAAGUGUUGGAUCACCAGCACCCCUAUGGCGCAGCGAAAAAAAUUAAAAUCGGCGACCCUAACCAUGGAUCCAUGUGUGAAGAACGAAUCGGGGUGAAAAGAUUACGAAAUUACCUAAUAUUUCGAUUAAGAAGAUAGUAACUUCUCGACAAUGUGUAGUCUGAUUUACAGUCAAACCAAGCCGCAAUCUAUCGAGACUCCAACCUCUACGUAAUCCACCCAGUUGACUACGAACGGAAGAAAAUCCCCAAAACAGUUUUGAGAGUUAUAUUUUUUUACGGCUGCUAGACCUUAAAAUAAUGAAAAACGGGAUUCUAAUAUAUCUCUUUUAUUUUUAGGGUUUUUAGGAAUUAAAUAAAUAUAAUAAUAUUUUAAACCGAAAAUUUUAAUUACAUUAAUUAUAAUAUAAUUUCGGUAAACCAUAUAUUUAUUUAAAUUCAUAUGCUAAUCAAAUUCAUGUCCUCAUUAUGCGUACAACAACCUUGUACAUAAUGUGUUGGAAAUUUGAUUACUGAAUUAAAUUAAUUCUAUAAUUAAUUUAAUUCAAGUGACACCCAAAAAUAAAACCAACUAUGGUUUAUUCCGUUCAUUUCAACUAUAGUGUGUGACCUUGUAGGUUCUUGUAACGUUAGCAGUAAUACUAGAACGAUUCCAAUGUUACAAACAAUGAGUGGCAUCUAGCAAUGCAUCAUUCUACCUAAGUCACAAGAGAUCAUGAUUCGACAUAACCUUUUAUGAUUAACCUUUUAUGCAAUAAUCCUUAAGUCCUUUAUCUCUGGAUUGGACACAAGUCAUGGAAUAGUCACACUUGUAUAGUCCAUUCCAUGUUCCUUGAUAUCUUAAGCAGACUACGAUAUACACAUAAGUAUGACAUCUCAUAUCAACUUAUUUGAGCAUGGCCAUGCAUUUCUAGUCUCACUUAAUCAAGUGGCCUAAGAUAUUACUCCCAUUAUGUAGGAGGGACUUAUUCUAUAUCGACCAACCAUAUCCCUCUACAUCGAUUGUGAUAUAUCCAACAUCAGCCUUUAUAGAACAACCAGUUACGGUGUACGUUUAACUGUAUCAAAAUAUAUUACUCACGAUGUUGGGAUUAUGAUGAUCUCAAGUCUGAGGAUCAUAUACAUAUUAAUCACUAUGAGUAAUGUCGUGACAAUUACAUAAUAAUCCAAGAGANNNNNNNNNNNNNNNNNNNNNNNNNNNNNNNNNNNNNNNNNNNNNNNNNNNNNNNNNNNNNNNNNNNNNNNNNNNNNNNNNNNNNNNNNNNNNNNNNNNNAGUCCAAUAUGUUGUUCUCUAACACACAUAUUCAUGCAUCGAUUCUGACAUUCCAUAUCAAUGACAACUCUUUAUCAUCAAUCAACUACAUGUUAGUCUUAAUGCAUUAUCCUUGUCCUAUCCAACAAUAAUACUUGACUAAGGAUCUUUUAAGAAUAAUCAUAUUAUUCUUAGGACAUUAUUAUAAAACAGCUUAUUUAUACACACAGAAAAGAAACUGAAAUAAUAAUGGUAACGCCUUAUAUUAAUAAACAUGAUAAAUCAAGUAUGUUAUUACAAUCAUCUCAUGAUUGGUCUUUGGGCAUACUCUAACAUUAAGAAGUAGACUCUGUUAUAGAUCCUGGAUCAAUCUGAAGCUCCACCUGUUUUUCCUGGUUAUUAUUGGAAGAGUUUUUAAGAGAUAAGUUAGGUAGCAUAGCAGUUUCAUAAAAAAAUAAUAUCUCUGCUAAUCACAACUUUUCUAUUUUCAGGACACAAUAAUUUAUAUCCUUUAACACCAGCCUUAUAACCAAGAAAAAACACAUUUAAUGGAUCUAGGUUCUAAUUUCCCACUAUCAACAUGAGCAUACACAGGACACCCAAAAAUUCUCAAAUUAGAAUAAUCAGUAGGAUUACCAGACCAUACAUUUUGUGGAGUCUUUUUCUCAAUGGCAACGAACAGAGACUGGUUAAUCGAAAAACAUGCAGUACAGGCCACUUCAGCCCAAAAUGACUUCGGUAAACAAGCAUUCGAUAACAUACAUCAAACUUUUUCCAUGAUUAUUCUAUUCAUCCAUUGUGCAAUGCCGUUUUGCUGUGGAGUAUGACGAACUGUCAAGAGUCGCAUGAUUCCUUUUGAUUUGCGCAAUUUAAUAAACUCAUCAAAACAUAAUCCCAUGCCAUUAUCUAUACGGAGGUGUUUUAUCUAUUUUCCUGUCUAGUUAUUGAUCAUAGUUUUCCAAGCCUUAAACACAAAAAACACAUCACUUUUCUGCAAAAAUCAUCAAUGAUUGUUAUCAUAUAAUUAGCGUCACCCUUCGAAGGCACUCUGGAUGUUCCCCAAAGAUCAGAAUGAAUAUAAUCCAGCAUUCUCUUCAUGUUAUGGAUUCCUCUAGUGAAUCAAACUCUCUUUUGCUUCCUAAAAACGCAGUGCUCACAAAACUUUAGUUUGCUAAUGCCUUGUCCAUCAAAAAGUCUUCUUUUGCUUAAUUCUACCAUGCUAUUCUCACUCAUAUGCCCUAGACAUAUAUGUCAAAGUCUAGUAACAUAAUCAUCUAACAAGGAAGAGGAAGCGACGGCUGCAUCACCAGUAACAGUAAAACCUUGCAAAACAUAUAACUUGGCAAUCUUUCUCUGCCCUUUCAUCACAAUGAGGGAAUCCUUACUAAUCUUUAGAACUCCACUUUCAGCUGUGCACUUGUGCCCUUUUGAAUCAAGAGUACUCAACAAAAUCAAAUUCCUCUUCAAUCAUGGUAAAUGUCAUAUUCCACUAAGUGUUCUGAUGACUCUAUCGAACAUUUUAAUUUUGAUCGUGUCAAUACCUGUGAUUUUACAUGAAGCAUUAUUUCUCAUCAAAACAACACUUUCAGACACAAUUUCAUAGGUUGUAGACCAAUCUCGAUUUGGACUCAUAUGGAACGUACAAUCAGAAUCGGGGAUCCCCUCCUCGCUCACUUUAAAUUUGUUGGCAAAAAUAACUAGAAGUUCACCAUCACUGUAGUUUUCUGCUACAUCAGCUUCACCGGAUUGUUCUGGUUGUUUUCCCUUUUGAUUCACAAUCUCCCUUUUGAUCUUGUUUUACAACUUAUAGCACUUAGAUUUAAUGUGCCCUUUCAUCUUGCAAAAGUCACAGGUUUUACCUUUGUUUGAAGAUCUUGAUCUACCCUUAAAUUUGCUGCUAGGAUUUCGCUCUUAUGUCCUCUAACGAUUAUCAUCAGUAUUUUGUUCUUGUCUACCACGAACAGUGAGACCCUUUCCCUGAGAGUCGGAUCCAACUACAGGAUGUUUCAUCUUGUCAUACGAGGCUAAAGGAGCAUAGACUUCAUCAACUGUGAUAGAUUCACAACUAUACAAAAUCGUAUCUCUAAAGGUUGAAUAAGACGGGGUAACGAAUAAAGUAGAAUUAAACCUAAAUCUUCUUUGUCAUACUAAACCUCCAUGGCCUCUAGGUCAGAGAGAAUUUUUUUAAACACAGUUAAGUGUUCGUGUACAGACGCACCUUCCUCCAAAUGAUAAGCAUAAAGACGCUGGUUAUAUGCAACUUGCUAGUUAAGGUUUUCGACAUGUAUAAUUGUUGCAACUUUGCCCGUAAUGCACCGACGAUCUUCUCAUUCAUCACGCCCUGUAGAAUUUCAUUUGACAAAUGGAGAUGUAAUUGUGUUAAAACCUUUCGAUCUUUACGUUUCUUCUCCUCCUCUGUCAAUGUCGAAGGCAUCUUAUCUACCCCUAGCAAGGCAUCCUCUAACUCCAUUUGCGCAAGAACUGGCUGCAUCUUUAUCUGCCAUAGUGCGAACCAGGUGUUGUGAUCUAGUAGUGGAAUAUCAUACUUCAAUGUCGCCAUUACCAUGAUCGAGACAAACAACCCGAAAAGCUCUGAUACCAGUUUGUAAAAGUUGAACGUCGACAAUGACAAUAUAAAACAAUCACAAAUCAAAAGAAAGAAAAAUAAGAGAACACAGAUUUUACGCGGAAACCCUUUCGAGAAAAAAACCACGAGUAGAGGAGAAGAAAAUUCACUAAUGUCAAAUUCGAAUGAUACAAGAGAAAUUUAGACUAUAUCUAUUUAUAGGUUGAAAAACCUUAUUUUAAUCAAUGUCAAAUAGAUGAAGUGUAGUAAGGUUGAAAAACCUUUUUCUAAUUAAUGUAAAAUAAAAGAAGUAUAAUUCUAUAUGGAUUUUACUUUUAUUUUAAUUUACCACUGUAUUUUAUUUUAACAAGGAUUCGAACCACUCAACUCUAUAUAUAUUUAAAAUCAUUCAAAUUUGAAAAAAUAAAUUAAAAUUAAAAAUAUUUUGUUGAAAAUCUGAAAAUUAUUUUUAAAAAGUCCCCCUCAUCUUCUUCAUCUAAAAGAAUGAAGAUUUUCACUGUCAUUUUUUUAUUUACUUAAAACUCUCAGAUCGUAAAAGAUUACUUUUUGUGCAUCCAAAUGAAAAACCCUCAACCAUCCCUUGUAGAAAAGAGAAGACUUGAAGCAAAUGGCACAAAUUCGAUCCGUUUGCGCUUUAAUUUCUAGCGAAAAGUUGGCUAUGUAACAUCAUCAAAACCAACCCUAAUAAAAUUUCUAACAUAGACAUAUUUUUUUAUUUAACUGCGAUUUGUUAUUUAGAAAAUCAUGGUUAUAAUAAAAUUUUAAAAUCAAUUAAAAUUCAUUAAAAUAAUUUUUUAUCUACGAAAUCAAAAUCUAAAUUAGAAAUUAACUGUUAUGCAUGAAGAAGCUUAAUACUAUUUUUGGUCUUUGUACUAUAGUGAAAUUCUUAUUAUGGCCUUUUAUUAUUUUUUGGUCAGAUUGUUUUCUCUAUUUCCAUUUCGUCACUAAGUUCGCCCUUUUAGCAAGUUUCAUUAAAAAUAUUAAAUCCACGAAUGACUUGCUGUGCCACAUUUAAAAAAAUUAAAAAUUUUACUUAAAAAAUUAAAAAUCCAAAAUAUCUCAAAAAUAACAAAAAUUUGAAAACAUAGAAUUUUUUUUUAAAAUAUCCUAAUCUACUUUUGAAAAUUAUAAAAAUUAUUUUUUUACAAAAAAAUUAUUUAAAAAAAUAAGAACUCAUUUAAAUUCCACAAAAAUCAUAAUUUUUUUAAAAGAGUCCCAAAAAUCUUAAAACACAAAAAAAUUAUAAGAUCUUAAUCUAUUUCAAAUUCACUUAAAAUUUAAAAAAUAUAAAAAAACUAAAAUAAAUCAUUAAAAUUCCCCAAAAAAACAUAAUUUUUUUUAAAUCCAGAAAAAUCUUAAAAUUCUGAAAUUUUAAAAAAAAUCAAAAUAUUAAUCUAUUUCAAAUUCACUUAAAAUUUUAAAAAUAUAAAAAACUAAAAAAUAUUAAAAUUCCAAAAAUAUAUAUAUUAAAAAAACACCCCCAAAAAAUCUUAUAACUUUGAAAAUUAUAAAAUAAACUUUUAAAAAAUCUUAAUCUAUUUUUGAAAAUUAUAAAAAAGAAAACCUAAACUUAUAAGUAUGCAGAACUUCAAGAAAAUAAAAAAAUCAUAAAAAUAUAAAAAAUGUUUUUCUUUUUUGAAUUUAGGGUUUUAUAAAAAUAUAGAAUUUUAUGAAAAAUUUUAAGAAUUUUAUGGUAAUUUUUACUUAGGAUUUCCAAAAAAAAAAAAAAUCCCAUAAAUUUCUUCUAAAUUUUAAUAAAAUUCCAAAAUUUUAUAAAAACCUAAAAUUUUCUACAAACCUAAAAUUCCAAAAAGAAACUCAUUUUUUUUAACUUUUUUUCAAAGUUUCGCAUGCUUAUACUUUUUUUUUUCAAAAAAUAUAGUUUUGAAAAAUAUAUUAAGAUUUUUUUAGUUUUUUUAUUACUUUUCUAUGUUUUUAUAAAAGAACCAAAGUGAGAAUUUCAGAUAUUAAGCCAAAAGAUAUUACCUUUUAUUUGAGUUUAUUUAGAGUGAGAUUUCACCGUAUGCAAACAAAAGAGAAUUACAAUACAAAGCAGAUCCUCUCUUUUCCUCCUUUCUUUUUCCGUAGUUUUCUUCUUCUUCUUCUUCUUCUUCUUCUUCCUCUCUUGUAAACUUCUUUUCUUUCUCCUUUACAUGCUUCACUGUUCUCUUCACCUCUCUCUUUUUUCUUCUUACCUUUUUUUGCUUUUCCAUGCAAAAUGAGGCAGGAGGCCAUGCCACCCUUAAAUGUUAAUAACACUGACAAAUAACAUAAUAAUCUAAACUAAAAAAUUAAUAGUCAAAAUCCAAAAUAAAAUCGAGCUAUGAAAGUGUAGCAACAUUCAACUUAGAUUUUUCAAAUUAAACCUAACCCUAGAAUUCAGAUUUAUUGAAAGUGACUUUAAAAUUAAGUUUAGCCCGGAUAAAAAUAAUACCUAUAAUAUAAAUAAUAUUUUUUAAUUAUUUUUUAAUCAAAUUGAUGUUUGAUUAAUGGGUGAUACCGAUACAAAAAAUUUAAAUAGAAACAUAAAUUCUAAUUUAAAUGUUUUAAAAGAAAAUACUAAUUGUUCAAGACUGUAUUUAAUUCAGUUCGUUUUUCUUCGAUUUGUCCUUCUAUUAGAUGAAAAAAAAACUAAUAAAACGACUCGUAAAUUAAUACAUAUUAAUAUUUUUAUUUUUAUCGUGUUAUUGAAAACUAUGGGAUAUUUUACUUUUGAAUUUCAUAUAAAUAUUAAAUGUGCAUAUAAACUCUUCAAGGAUAAUUUAAUUAUUAUUUAAUAAGAAAAUUUUAAGGUAAUAAAAAUUGUAUGUGAGAGAACCCGAUGUGAUGGCUCGAGCUGAUGUGAGUUUCUUUAUUGGCCUAAUAAUAAAUUUAGUCUUCUAAUAUUUACACGUUCUACCCAAGUUUGGAAGUUACUGAUGAUGAUAUGUCCAAGUAAAAAAAAAGGCGAAAAAAAACAAAUUUUCUAUGUUUUGAAAGAUUUCGCAUUUCAUUGUUUCCUCUAUUUGAAUAUUAAGUAUUUGUACAUUUUUUAAAUAAGAAAAACAUGGAAAUAAUUAUUUUGUAAUUGUUUAAAGAAUUGUUAAUUUAUUUAGAGGAAUUGAUUCUUAGAUUAUAUGAUAUUAAUCUAAAAUAUGACACUAAAAUAGUUGGAUUUAAGCCAACUUGAUUUUUUACCAUAUUCAAAAAGGCGAUAUUAAUUUAAAAAGAGCACAAUACAAAUAGUGUUAAAUACUCUUCUUGUUUAGUAUAUUUUGGAGGUACGUUAAAGAAUAUUUAAAAAAAUUUAAAUACUUUCCAAUUUUCUAUUGAAAUUUUUAGAAUUAGAACUAAACUGACAAAUUCUGUGAUGGCUAAAUUUAUUGAUUUUUUUUAGAAUUCGAACUAAAAUGACAAAUUUUGUAAACAUUUAGGGCUAAUUUUGUUGAUUUUGUUUUAGAUUUAGGAUCAAACUGAUAGAAUGUGUAAAUAUUGGAGGCUAAAUUUGUUAUUAGAUCAAUAAAAAGGGCUUACCGAGCUUUUCAUCACUCAUCUAACAACAACUAACGAGAGAGUGACUAAAAUAUUUAAUUUCAAAAAAUUGAGUGGCAAAAUGGAAAAAAAAAUCAAUAGUCAGGUGACCAAAUAGAACCGAAGGCAUAAUUGGUGACUAUUGUUGUAGUUUACCCUUUUAGUAAUUAAAAUUAAUUUCUUUCAAUAAGUUCAAAUAAUAGAAAAUAAUUAUUUGAUAAUUAAAUGAAGAACUACAUUGGUAGUCACUCAACUAUUAGUAUUUUUUUUUGUCAUGCAACUAUGAAACUUUACAAAAAUGGUCAAUAAUUAUUCAACUUUUUUCUAUUUGGUCAACCAACUACCGGCCAUUAAUUUAUACAUUGUGUCAAUUUAGUCUUGAUUCAAAAAAAAUUAACCCUCAACAUUUACACAUUGUGUCAUUUUUUUUUGCAGUUUUACUUUUAUUUGUGACAUUGAGGGUUAAUUUUAAAAGAAUGAGAAAAUAUGAAAAUUAUUAUCUUGGAUUUUGGGUGUUUUCAUUUUUGAUAUAUUUCCGAUUAAAUUUAGUUGAUAGAUUGUUUUUCUUAGCUUAUUAGGUGAAAGGGUCACAAAGAAAAACAAAGAAAAAAUACCAAAUUACAUCAUGUGUAAACACUGAGGGUCACAAUGUAUAAAUGUUGAGUGCUAAAGUUGCUAUUAUGCCAAUUUUAAAAGUUAUACGUCACCUUUUAUUCAAUCAUUCAACGACUAGUGAAAACGAAAAAACCAAAUAGUUGAGUGACCACUUCGUAACUUUUCAUAAUUGGGUGGCUAAAAAAAGAAAAGUACUAAUAGUUGGAUGACUUGAAAUGUAAUUUACCCUUAAAUAAAACAAUGGAUAAUUUGUGAUUGGUGUCCCAAAAUUAUAAAAAAGAAACUAUAUUUGCUAUAAGAAAGGUUAUAUCAACUAGAUAGACUAUAGUGGACAUUAAAUGACGUACCAUAAAAAAUAAAAAGAAAAGAACAAACAACUUCAAAACCUAUAUAUAUAUAUAUAUACAUAUAUAUAUAUAUAUAUUAUUUAAAGGUUGUAUUCUUUUGACUUAAAAAGAAUAAUUGAGGCUAAAGAGAUUGCAAUGAUUUAAGCAUGUUAUUCAUGACUAUAAUGUUUUGGAAAAAUAUAUAAUAUUAUACUUUUUGUAAAAUCAUAAGGAGCGUUAAUGAUUGACAAGUAUCUUAUAAGAAUAUAGUAAAUUUUUUUAAAAAAUACACAUUAUAGUUUUUUAAGACUGUUUGUGAAAUUAAAAAAAAUACACUACUAAUGUACAAAAUACGUAUUGUCGAAACCGUUUUUUGAAAACAAAAAUUUUAGUUUCGACUUAAAAAUAAAAACAAAAACUGGAGUCGCCACCGAUCAUUUAUGAAGGUGUGAUCGGCCCACCUUAAAAAUAAUUUUGGUCUGCGAAAUUCGAGAAAACAGGCUCGGGAGUCAGUUACGCACGAGGAAGGAUUAGCACCCUCGUAACGCCCAAAAUUGGUACCAAAUUGAUUUUUUUUAAUGCCUUGGUGUCGAAAAUUUGAAAAGAUUUUAAAAGGAAACUUUUUAUUUCAUGAAUGGAUUAAAAUAAAAAGACAUUCGUAUUUCAAAGAAAUAAAACACCACACCCAGUGAGUUAGGGCACAAUGUUUUUAAAUCUUCAAAAUACCCGAAUAUUGCCUUUUGCUUUUGAAAAUUCUUAUUUCGAGAAGAAAAUGUCAUGACCAGUAAGUUAGGACCCAACAUUUCGAAUUCCCGAGAAUAAGUUUUUAUUUAAAAUUUGAAUUUAUUGCAAAACAAAUAUUUGGCUUUCUAAACUCAUCGAAAAAUAAUCGCGAUCCAAUAAGUUAGGACACGAUCUUUCACGAGAAUCAUGAAUACCAAAUAUUUUGGAAUUUAUAAAAUAAGAUGAUUUAAAUACUUUGAGAAAACAUAUAUUUUCUUUAAAAGCAAGAUAAAAUGUUAAUAUACAACAUGAUACACAUAUUUUAAUUUAAAUUAUAAAUGUGCAUGUAUUUACAAAAUAUAUAUAAGUGUAAUACACAAGUAAAUUUGAAAAUAUGUGCAUGCGUAUGUUUAACACACAUACACAAAUAUACAUAAAAAACAUGCAUAGCAUAACUUAUAAUAAUCUCCAAAAAUAUGUACGUAUAUUUCAUAAAACAUGCAUAUGUACAAAAAAAUAGAAAAAAAAAAUGCAUAUGCCUUGUAAAAUAUGAGAGUACAUACAUAUAUAUAUAUAUAUAUACAUAUUUAUUUAUAAAAACUAUGUAAACAAAAUAUAUAUAAAAUAUGAGCGUAUAAGGACUUCAAAGGAGAUUGGAUUGGUUACUUCAGUCUGCUCCACUGCAACUUCAGGGAGAUAAGACUUGUAUAUUCGAUCUACUUCACCACCAGUAUGGGAAGACAAGAUCUGUUUUCUUCGAUCUACUUCACGCCAAUACAUGAGGACAAGAUCUGUUUUUUCAAUCGAUUCCACUGCCGACCGGGGAGGUAGAAUUACUGGCUUCAAUAUACUCCGCUGCAACCUCAGGGAGGUAAAAUCCGCCAUCUUCGAUCUGCUCCACUACUGCUUAGGGAGAUAAGAUCUGUAAUCUUCAAUUUGCUCAACUGCAAUGUCGGGGAAACCAGAUCCGCCGUCGUGGCUUCAAUCUAUUCCACCGCACCGUUAGAGAAGUAAGAUUUGCCGUUGUGGCUUCAAUCUUUUUAAUUGCAAUAUCAGGGAAACCAAAUCCGCCGUCGUAGCUUCAAUCUGUUCCACUGCACUGCUAAGGAAGUAAGAUCCGCCGUUGUGGCUUCAAUCUUUUAAAUUGUAAUAUCAGGGAAACUAGAUCCGCCGUCGUAGCUUCAAUCUGUUCCGCUGCACUGCUAAGGAAGUAAAAUCCGCCGUUGUGGCUUCAAUCUUUUUACUUUUCAACCCGCUCCAUUGUUACUCACGGAGACAAGGCUUUAUGAUUUCACCGAUCUGCUCUCUGUGGAACAUGACCUGUAUGACUCACUUUAUGAGCCUAAUUAUGCCUAAUGAUUAGGAUGUCAUGAUCAGAAUGAAUCAAAUGCUCCUAACUAGGCGUGUAUAAAUGACAUUUGAAUAUUAUGUCAUGAAAAAUGAAUAUUGAAUGUGUAAAGUCAUUAUUGCUCAUUAAGGCUUCCUUCGUGGCAACAACGCUUCGUCAAAACUUGAAAAAUUUAAAAUCUCGACUCUUGGCUCCUAGAUAUCUCCGACCUUUUAACCCAGUGAAGGUCUAAACAAUAGUCCUGUUUCAGGUUCCUGAGUUAUUUAAAGAUUUCUAGAGUAAUAUGAAAAACUUCCCUUGUGAAAGUUUUACUAGUCCAUUAAUCGUCAUUCUAAUGCAACAUGCUUGCGAAAAGAUCAUAACGAUAACAUAAACAAAAUUAGUCUGGGAGGAUAGCUCGCAAUGGAUUGUCAAUGAUAGAGGAAUUGUCUGGGGACAUUUAUAUUGAAAAAAAAUGUCAUAAUUUAACAAUGAAUUCAAUACAAAUACUAUGAACAUGUGCCCCAGAUAUCUCUGCUUGAAUUUCUCUAUACAGCUUUCGAAGACCCUUUUGAAUUCAACACGUGUUUAGGAAAUUCACAGUAUUUUGUUGAUGCCCCAAGAUGUCGUCUAUUCCUUUCUGUCGAUUUAGGUACAGCAAGACUACCACGUGACAACCAAAAUUUGAGCCGCCCUUUUUGGGUUUUCAACUCAAAUCCCCUUUGGUCUUAAGGUGCCCUUUGCGGGUUUUCACCUUAGCCUCUCCUUUCCUUUUCUUUUCUUUUCUUUUUUUUUUUUGGAAUCAAAGCGCCCUUUGCGGGUUUUCACCUUGGUUACUUCCCUUCUUCAAGUAAAGUACCUCUUCACCGAAUCUGAAUUUACCGGAUUAGGCAAGUUUUUCCCGUCCAUUUCAGCCAGGAUCAGGGCUCCUCCAGAAAAGGCCUUUUUUACAACAUAAGGACCCUCCCAAUUCGGCAUCCAUUUCCCCUUAAAAUCCUUUUGUAGAGGAAGAAUUUUUCUCAACACCAGGUCCCCCUCGUGAAAUUCUCUGGGUCGGACUUUCUUGUUGUAGGCUCGCAUCAUUCUUUUCUGGUAUAUCUGACCGUGCUGAAUAGCCUUUAGCCUCUUUCCCUCUAUCAAGUUCAACUGAUCGUAUCGAGAUUGAACCCAAUCCGCUUCAUCCAAUUGUAGCUCAGACAAAACCCGGAGAGAAGGGACUUCAACUUCGAUGGGCAACACUGCCUCCAUGCCAUAAACUAAGGAGAAAGGCGUUGCCUCGGUGGAGGUCCUGGUUGACGUUCAAUAAACAAGGAGGGCAAACGGUAAUUUCUCGUGCCAGUCCAUGUAAGUCUCAGUCAACUUCCCUACAAUCUUCUUUAUAUUUUUAUUGGUCGCUUCUACUGCACCAUUCAUUUUCGGGCGAUACGGCGACGAAUUGUGAUGUCUGAUCUUGAAUUGACUGCAGACCUCUGCUAUUGAGCUGUUGUUCAAAUUCAACGUAUUGUCGGAUAUGAUUCUUUCAGGCAUUCCAUACCGACAUAUGAUCUCUCUCUUCAAGAACUUACUGACUGAUGACUUUGUAACAUUAGCAUACGAAGCAGCUUCUACCCAUUUGGUGAAGUAGUUAAUAACCACGAAUAUGAAAUGAUGCCCAUUUGAAGCCUUUGGCGAUAUUGGCCCGAUAACAUCCAUACCCCACAUGGAGAAAGGCCAUGGAGAAGUCAUGACAUGAAGAGGUGAAGGAGGUGCAUGCAUUUUAUCACCAUAGAUUUGACAUUUAUGGAACUUCUUGGAAUAAUUGAUGCAAUCCCCUUCCAUGGUAGACCAGUAGUACCCGAAUCUCAUAAUCUGCCUAGCCAUUGUGAACCCGCUGGCAUGCGUUCCGCAGAUGCCCUCAUGGACUUCUUCUAGAAUUUUCUUUGCUUCUACGGCGUCCACACAUCUUAGCAGUACCUGAUCUUUUCCCCUCUUGUACAAGAUCUCCCCAUCUAAGACGUAGUCAAUGGCUAGUCUUCUCAGAGUUCUCUUUUCAUUCUCCGUUGUCUGGCCAAGAUACUCACGAUUUUUUACAUACCGUAGUAUAUCUUGAUACCAAGGACUAUCAUCGAUUUCCCCUUCUUCAAUAUUGUAACAAUGAGCCGGGUCUUCAUAGAUACUCAUUUGGAUUGGUUUCAUAUCCCCAUUUCUGUUCAGUUUGAUCAUGGAAGCUAAGGUAGCUAGUGCAUCAGCCAUCUGGUUCUCAUCUCGUGGGAGAUAGCAAAAAGUGAUGUCCUCAAACUCCUUAAUCAAUUCGAGGACCAACUUUCGGUAACUGAUUAAUUUGGGAUCUCUCGUUUCCCAUUCACCCCUGAGCUGAUAUAUCACCAAUGCUGAAUCUCCAUAGACCUCUAGCACUUUGAUUCCUCGCUCUAUAGCUGCACGAAUACCCAUGAUGCAUGCUUCAUAUUCUGCCAUGUUAUUUGUACAAUCAAAAUCCAAUUUACAAGUGAAAGGAUAAUGAUCACCAUUUGGGGACACCAGGACUGCCCCAAUUCCAUUGCCUACAGCGUUCGAGGCUCCAUCAAAGUUUAGCUUCCAACUGUGACCUUCUUGGGGACUUUCUUCAGUAGCGGCUACACACAUCAGGUCCUCAUUUAGGAAAUCAAAACUCAACAGCUCGUAGUCCUCCAGAGCUCUACUAGCUAGAAAGUCAGCAAUUGCACUCCCUUUCACAGCCUUUUGGUUCACAUAGACAACAUCAAAUUCAGACAAUAAAAUUUGCCAUCGGGCCAUUCUCCCAUUCAAAGCAGCUGACUCCAUCAUAUACUUUAACGGGUCUAACUUUGAGAUCAGCCAAGUCGUAUGGUAUAACAUGUACUGCCUUAAUCUUCGGGUUGUCCAAAUCAAGGCACAGCAUAAUUUCUCAAAUAGGCGAAUAUCUCAUUUCACAGUCAGUGAAUUUCUUGCUGAGAUAAUAUAUCGCUCUUUCUUUCCUCCCCGUUUCAUCAUGUUGACCUAACACACACCCCAUGGAAUUGUCAAAUACCGUUAGAUACAAUAUCAGAGGCCUAUCCGGGUUAGGUGGUGACAGCACUGGAGUAUUAGACAAAUACUGUUUCACUUUGUUGAAAGCUUCCUCGCAUUCCUCAUCCCAAGUACCAGGAUUAUGUUUCUUCAGAAGACGAAAUAUAGGGUCACAUUUCUCAGUCAGUUGUGAAAUAAACCUAGCGAUGUAAUUCAGUCUUCCUAGGAAACCUCGAACUUCUUUCUGAAUGCGAGGUGAAGGUAAAUCUCGUAUUGCCUUGACUUUGUCUGGGUCAAUCUCGAUUCCCUUUUCACUGACUACAAAGCCUAGCAACUUUCCUGACCUGGCCCCAAAAGUGCACUUCGCUGGAUUAAGCUUGAGUUAGAACUUUCUCAAUCUUAAGAAUAACUUUCUCAAGACCCACACAUGUUCGCCCUCUGUUCUAGAUUUCGCGAUCAUAUCAUCAACAUAAACCUCGAUUUCCCUGUGCAUCAUGUCAUGGAACAAGGCUACCAUGGCUCUUUGGUAUGUCGCUCCUGCAUUCUUCAAUCCAAACGGCAUCACUUUGUAACAGAACGUCCCCCAUAACGUAAUGAAUGUAGUCUUCCUCAUGUCUUCAGGAUGCAUCUUUAUCUGAUUGUACCCAGAAAAACCAUCCAUGAAGGAAAACAGUGAAAAGCCCGCAGUAUUGUCUACCAAUGUGUCAAUGUGAGGCAAUGGGAAAUUAUCCUUUGGACUAGCCUUGUUCAAAUCCCGAUAAUCCACACACAUUCGUACUUUUCCAUCNNNNNNNNNNNNNNNNNNNNNNNNNNNNNNNNNNNNNNNNNNNNNNNNNNNNNNNNNNNNNNNNNNNNNNNNNNNNNNNNNNNNNNNNNNNNNNNNNNNNCUUGCAGAAACCCGGCAUCAAACUGCUUUUGGACCUCCUCCUUUUAUCUUCAACACGAUAUCAGGCCUCAUCCUUCUGAGUUUUUGCUGCACUGGCUUGCAAUCUUCUCUUAUAGGGAGACGAUGGACUACCAUGUCGGUACUCAACCCCGGCAUAUCCUGGUAUGACCAUGCAAACACGUCUUUGAACUCUCGGAGUAAUUCAAUGAGGUCCUGCCUUGUCCUUUCAGAGAUAACCGAUCUGAUCUUCACCUCUUUACCCUCCUCUAAGCUCACGACUUCUAUUGAUUCCCUGUGAGGUAGGAUUUAUUUCUCGGCCCUUUCUACCAUCUUUGACAAGUCAGGAGACAAACCACAGUCUUCGUUGUCUUCAAAAUUAUGCGAUCCCUCUAAACACAUGUUUCGUUCAAAAGGAGACUCUAAAUUUGUAAGAGUGACAUUCGCAUCAUUGAUAUCAUGGGACCUGUUAUAAGUAUGAAAAACAAUAUGGAUUCAGGAAUUUGUUUGGUGCAAUAUGGUCAUGAAUGAAAUGCAAGUGUAGUUUAAGAGAAACUUAAAAUAACUGCUCUUAUGGGAAGAAAGAUUUGCUCCAAAAAUGAUUGCAAACAUGAACUUUAUUAAAAUAACGAUUUUCUGGACAUGAGCCUAUUUCACAAAGGAAUCCUUAUCACUUCUAGGCUAAAAGGCAAUAAGGGUGUUCUGGACAUUACUCUGGGGAAAUCCUAAAAACUACAGGUAUUUCUUCUGCAGUCCAGUUGUUUAGCUCCCUUUCCGACUCGUAAGGACGAAUAUCUGGCAAAGCUCUUCCUCGCGUCACUUCUUCAUACACAACAUGAAUACUCUCUAGCUCCAUGUUAAUACUUCUGACCCCUAGCAUUCUUUGAUAGGUGAAUCCUCCCGGUACAAAAGUCUUGGAUAGGUGAGGAAAGGUCAUGGGUUCCCAUUUGACUUCAUCACCUGUCAAGCGAGCCCUUCUCCGCACUCGCUUAUUUUCCUGCUCUAUCCUCUUCUGCCUAGCAUCUGGCUUGUAUUCUAAGCCAAAACGAUCCUGCUUGUCUUUCAACACUAGAGCCUCAACUCGGCCCUGAAGAUAUCUCCCCAAUCCUCUUCUCGGUAAUGCUCCCUUUCCAACAGUCAACUGCAGACCCAUCUCUGUGGUCCUGGAUAUUCUCGGCAUCGGGAUCUUGUUUCCCUCACGGAUGAAUGUUGCAUUUACAAACUCCAAGGAACGAAAAGAGCAUUCGAUUGGAUCAUCGCUCGUUUCUAGAUAAGUCGCAUCGUUGGUCACAGAUGCAAUGAUAUCUUCUUCAGCAUCUAUCGUCACAACCCUGCCUUCUGACACCAGCUUCAGUUUUUGAUGUAACGAUGACGGUACCGCACCUGCUGAAUGAAUCCAUGGCCUUCCUAAUAGGCAACUGUAAGAAGGCUUGAUGUCCAUAACUAAGAAGUCCACCUCAUAAAUAGUUGGGCCAAUUAACAAGAGAAUGUCAACUCUUCCCAUGACCCUCCUCUCAGUACCAUCGAAUGCUCGAACCACGUUCUGACACGACUUCAUAUGCGAACUAUCCACAGGUAGCCUGUUGAGCGUGGAUAGGGGAAAUACAUUUAAUGCCGAUCCAUUGUCUACCAGAACCCCCGGUAAUAUGCACCCUUUACACCUUGCAAUGAUGUGUAAAGCUCUAGUGGAUCCCAUACCCCCAGGUGGUAUUUCGUCAUCGCUGAAAGAGAUGAAGUUAUCAGCGCUUAUAUUACCGACCAGUCGAUCCAACUUGUUAAUAGAGAUAUCAUCGGCCACAUAAGUUUCAUUUAGCACCUUCAGUAGUGCAUUCUGAUGUCCCUCCGAGUUCAGGAGUAAAGCUAGCACAGAUAUGCGAGCUGGUUGUUUGUGCAGCUGUUCCACAACGCUGUACUCGCUAUGUUUUAUGAACUUCAAGAACUCUCUAGCUUCCUCCUCCUUGAUUGGUUCAUUGACCACCAAUUCAGGUUCGACCGUCUUCUUCUUCUUUCCAAUCAGAGUUUCUUCUCUUAUUGGCUCUACUCGAGCCUUCACCUGUUCGUUAUACCCUCCUUCAUCAUGGUCCUCCUUCCCUGGGAUUGUCACAUUACAAUUGUAAUGCCAAGGAACCCUCCUGUUAUCCUUGUAAGUAAACGCAGUCGGUUUUUGAAUGAUAACCCUUGGUGCUACUCGUGCUCCAGCCUCACUAUUCUUAGGUUGUGAGAUGAUGACCACAGGAUGGUUAACCUUUGGAACUCCCAAUGCCAACUCUGACGUACAUACAUGACUCUCUUUCUGAAUUCCUUCCCAAAAUUCCAUCUCUUUAUUAUCUAUCAUACCCUGUACCACGGCUCUGAACUCCGUACACUCCUGGAUUUCAUGCCCCAUUUCACAGUGGAACUCACAGUAGUUCCUCCUCUUCUCACAGCUUUCUUCUGAAGGAAUUAGCCCCCUUUUCACCAUCUCUUUCCAGACCCAUCUCAAAGGAGUCUUCACGUCCGCAAUGUCUACCUUAAUUCUCAUGUCUUCGUCCAUCAUAUUUACCCCACCAUCAGUGUGAUUUGGUAAUGGGUUCUCUGCCUUGGUGGCUUCAUCAAAUUUAACGACACCCAUACCAAUGAGCCUUUCAACCAGCUUCUUGAAGGCCGUACAGUUUUCUAUGGAGUGCCCCGUGAUUCCCGCAUGAUAGUCGCACUGUGCAUUUGCGUCGUACCAUUUGGGGGACGGGGGCUGUAAGGGCUUCAGAUAGAAAGGGGAAACUACAUGUGCGUCGAAUAAGUUUCGGUAUAAUUCCCUGUACGACAUGGGAAUUGGCGUGAAUUGGGGCCUCUCCGUAUUUCGCCUUGUACCGACCUUCUGUCUCGACAAGCUUUGUUGAUUGGCAGCCGUCUUUCCUGGCUGACUCACUGUUACUGACUUCGAGUAACCCUUGUUGUACAUGCUCACGUUGUUCACCUCGUUUUCCUUCCUUUUCGAAGCUGAUCUUCUGUUACUCUCUCCAGCAUCGAUCUUCCCACUCCUGAUGGUGUUCUCAAUCAUCUCGCCAUUCAUGACUAUGUCAGGAAAGCUUUUUGUGGCACUUCCUAACAUAUGUGUAAUGAACGGUGCCUUCAGGGUGUUAAUGAACAACAUGGUCAUUUCCUUUUCCAAGAGCGGUGGUUGAACUUGGACCGCGACCUCCCUCCAUCUCUGUGCGUACUGCCUAAAGCUUUCGCUCGGCUUCUUCUCCAUGUUUUGAAGGGUGAUCUUAUCAGGAGUCAUGUCUGUCACAUGACUAUAUUGUUUCAUGAAUGCUUGCGCCAAGUCCCUCCAUGAACCAAUCGUAGCUCGACUCAACUGAUUGUACCACUUGGAUGCUGCCCCUGCAAGGCUGUCUUGGAAGUAAUGUAUUAAUAGCUGGUCAUUACUAACGUAUCCAGCCAUUCGCCUGCAGAACAUGGUGAUAUGAGCCUCUGGGCAAGUCGUCCCAUUGUACUUCUCGAAUUCAGGCAUCUUAAACUUAUGAGGGAGAACAAGAUCCCGCACUAAACUCAGCUCUUUUGCGUCAAUGCCUCGAUAGCUUUCAGUAACUUCCAUCGCCUUGAACUUCUCCUCAAGCCACUUGCAUCUCUCUUCCAACUGUCUCGGUAACUCCUCCUUCACUCUUUCCUUCUCAACUACUUCAUCAAAGUCAGGAAUGGCAGAGUUAAUAGGAUUAUUUUCGGGAUUAAAACACGGCCCAGUUUGGAGGUUCGAAACACCAGCUUGAAAUUGCUGAGGCAUGAUUGUGACAGUAGAUUUGCGCGGGUAUUCAUCUUGAGUUCGCUCAUGUGGAGGGGUGAAACCUGGAGGAUAGAAAAGUUCAUCAUCAUUUCCCUCAUCGACAUCUGCCAUGGGGCCCUUUCCUUUGUCACCUCCCUUAGUUAUCAGUCGGGUUAACUUUGCCACUAUAUCCUCUUGAGAUUCCCGCAUCUUCUCAGACAUUUCUUGUUUCAUCUUGUCUAACCGCUCCUGCAUUUGUAGCUGAAUCCAGUCUUGCAUCUCCUUCUGGUACUGUUCGAGCUUUUCUAAUCUCUGAUCCAUAUCUCUUGUCUUUGUUCGAGUGCCGUAUCGGUGUUGGAUUGGUUGGUUGGUUUCCAGGUUAACUGAGCAAUAAUUUUAAUUAAUUAGGAUCAAUUCAAAGUUUUGAAUGCAUAUGAUGCGAUGCAUGAGAUGAAUGCAAGAAAGGCGUUAAUUAUGAUUCAAUUCCACUUGGAAAACUUUAUUAGAAAACAAAUCUCUUUACAUAGAAUAGACUACAAAUACGACUUCGCCCUAAUACUUAAGACCUUGAUUUUUUGAAGCAACGAGGCUAACUCCCGUCCCCGGUCUGACUCCAAUUCAUACUUUACGCUCAACGUGUCAGCUUGUACUGCCAGAGUUUGUAAGUGAUCAGCUACUUCUCGAAUCUGAACCAAGGCUUGUCCCAUAACACGAUCCCUGCUUCUGACCUAAUUCUGGAGAUAGUGAAGCUGUUCGCUUUGAUGAUCUUUGUUUGCCUCCAAAUACUCAAUCCUGGCUUCACAGUUCUGCAAUGCCACCUCUAGUUCUUCUAUAGUUUUCUUCAUUUGCUCGAUUCUACUUAAACUUGCUUGCAGUUCCACCACUGAAUUACGAUUUCGGUAUUGAUGAACAAUCUUCUCAAGUUCGGCCACUCUAGCCCUUAGUUUAUCCCUUUCAUCUUGAUUUUCUGACAAACUCUUCUCAAGCGAUCUAUUUUGCAUCUGGGCUUCUUGGAAUCUUUCUUCCCAUCUGCCAGCCUUGGCUUUUUCUUCUUGAACCUCUUGACGCCACUGCUCUGAGGUUUUUCCCAACCCAGCAGUUCUUACUGACAGACGUAGUCUCUUAUAAUCCGUCUUCAAGCUGUUCAAAUCUUCCUCGACUUUGCGCUUCCCUUUUCUCAGGCCUUCGGUUUCCUGCAUUUGAACAUCUAUGUCCAACUUUAAAUUCACCUUUUCCUCCUCCAUUUUCUCUAUUUUCUUCUCUAAUUCUGCAUUCCUUCUUUCGAGGUCUUAAUUUAUGAUUUCCAGCUCAGAAGGGACGACGCACAAAUGCUCCUCUAUCGACUGACUAUUUUCUGAACUUGGCCCGGGAAUGUUGUCAUUAAUCCUCCUAACACGCCAUUCGUUAUAUUCAGAAGUUGUCAUUGGACCCACGGCUAAUCUCUUCAUUCGGCGAGUCUGAUUCCACGCAUUGGCCAUCUCACGAGCCUUCCUUUUGUAGCCAUCAUCCUUAUAUGAGAAUUCACACUCAGCUAGUCCUUGAGUGGCAGGCACAAACUGUCUUGACCUGUACUGUCUUAACACUAGCAAUGGGGCAUAACCAACAGCUCCCCAAAUCCCGAGCAACGGAACCCAGUCGAAAUCGCCACACCUAUAUAGGAUCUCAUCUGGAAGCAACCACGGAGCUCUCCACUCGAUAUCUUCUUCUUGCAGAUUCUGAAAGAUUGCCAUCCAUUUCUCCUCUGUAAUAUCAUCUCUCCUUGAUGCAGCCACUAUCUCUUUCAACGGUGAAUAACUUUCAGAGAAGACCUGAUAUGAAACCUUAUCAACCUUCCAAAAGUGGCUAUGGAACCACCCAAGUAAUAACUGCGCACAUCUAAAAAAUCUGCCCUCUCCCGUUCUUCGGCAUGCAUUUAAUGACCUAAAGGUUUCUGCCAAAAUCACCGGAACUGGCGUAACUCCCUUGUCAAGCCGGUCGAAUAAAUCAGUGACCGCCUAAUCAACAUGUCCCAAAAUCUUAGGAAACAAGAUUAGACCAUAUAUACUUAGAGCAAAGACGUCCACUUUCUUCCUCGCAUCUGGGUGUGCUAAAAUGAGGUCCUUCAAGUUUUUCCAAGGAAUACACCUACUAUCCCCUUUUUGCUUAAUCCGAGCUGUAACCCACUACUCAUUUAUCCCUGUUAUACUCAUCAACUUCCUCAAGAAGGUUGGUACAUUCACCGCUUUCGAAUAAAUUCUAUCCACCUGUACCUUCGAACACCGAAGUAAAGCCGUGUACUCCUCUAUUGUAGGCACUAGGUCAACCUUUCCGAAUGUGAAGCAACUGUACGCCGGAUUCCAAAACUGGGCAAGAGCUCGAAACAGACGGUUGUCUACCUUCAUGUCAAGUAAAUAAGGUAAAUCCCCAUAAUUUGAAUAGAAUAGCUGUCUAACCUCAUUAUCCCAUUGAUCCCAAAUCUCCUUCAAUUCCUGCAAGUUGUUCUGAGCUACGCUAACACGAGUGAAGUCCCAUAACUCUGAUACGUAUCCCACGGCCAAACUAUCACCUUUUUCAUGCUGUAUCUUCUCAGACCAAGUCCGGACAGCCGUAUUGUCUUCCACUCUAUCAAGAAACCCAUUUCCCAUGAUAAACUUUCUAUAUGGCAACCGAAUAUGAACCAACGCCUUUAUAAUGAAAUGUCAUGCAAUUAUGAUGUCAUGCAAUCAAAACAAAAGAAACCCAAGUUAGUAUCACAUAUAAAAAUAUAAUCCAAACAAGAACACUUAUUUAGGAAUCUACUAGGGUUCAGUAUAGUUCUCCCUAGGGCAAGUUCCUAAAGCUCACUAUAUGAGGUUUAGUUUCUAGAGUAAGGGUACCCGAACCAACAGAUUCCUCGAUCCUCACCCAUUAUAGGCUCAUACAGAUCGAGUUCAGUUCAGGGGGACACAUUUCCCUAUGGCUGCACGGAGAUGAAAAUCUCACGAAGACAUAGGUACGAAUGUAUCCCGGAAGCAGUCCACUAUCCUGCACGGAGGUGAAAACCUCACGAAGGACUAGUUUCUCGCUCCCACUUAAGGGUAAAAUGCAAAAUGCAAAUGCAAAGUUGCCAAAGUUCCAUGAUAAAAUAUCAAUGAGUGCAAAGGGAAAAUUUUUAAAAACUUUUUGAUUUUCGACACAAAAACAAAUAUGAUCAGUUUAUGGCUCGACUCUCUAUGUCCCCAGCGGAGUCGCCAAGCUGUCGAAACCGUUUUUUGAAAACAAAAAUUUUAGUUGUCGACUUAAAAAAAACAAAAACUGGAGUCGCCACCGAUCCUUUAUUAAGGUGUGAUCGGCCCACCUUAAAAAUAAUUUUGGUCUGCGAAAUUCGAGAAAAUAGGCUCGGGAGUCAGUUACGCACGAGGAAGGAUUAGCACCCUCGUAACGCCCAAAAUUGGUACCAAAUUGAUUUUUUUUAAUGCCUUGGUGUCGAAAAUUUGAAAAGAUUUUAAAAGGAAACUUUUUAUUUCAUGAAUGGAUUAAAAUAAAAAGACAUUCGUAUUUCAAAGAAAUAAAACACCACACCCAGUGAGUUAGGGCACAAUGUUUUUAAAUCUUCAAAAUACCCGAAUAUUGCCUUUUGCUUUUGAAAAUUCUUAUUUCGAGAAGAAAAUGUCAUGACCAGUAAGUUAGGACCCAACAUUUCGAAUUCCCGAGAAUAAGUUUUUAUUUAAAAUUUGAAUUUAUUGCAAAACAAAUAUUUGGCUUUCUAAACUCAUCGAAAAAUAAUCGCGAUCCAAUAAGUUAGGACACGAUCUUUCACGAGAAUCAUGAAUACUAAAUAUUUUGGAAUUUAUAAAAUAAGAUGAUUUAAAUACUUUGAGAAAACAUAUAUUUUCUUUNNNNNNNNNNNNNNNNNNNNNNNNNNNNNNNNNNNNNNNNNNNNNNNNNNNNNNNNNNNNNNNNNNNNNNNNNNNNNNNNNNNNNNNNNNNNNNNNNNNNCACAAGUAAAUUUGAAAAUAUGUGCAUGCGUAUGUUUAACACACAUACACAAAUAUACAUAAAAAACAUGCAUAGCAUAACUUAUAAUAAUCUCCAAAAAUAUGUACGUAUAUUUCAUAAAACAUGCAUAUGUACAAAAAAAAUAGAAAAAAAAUGCAUAUGCCUUGUAAAAUAUGAGAGUACAUACAUAUAUAUAUAUAUAUAUACAUAUUUAUUUAUAAAAACUAUGUAAACAAAAUAUAUAUAAAAUAUGAGCGUAUAAGGACUAAAAUAUGUAUGUAAGCAUAUAUAUAUAUAUGAACGUAAAACUAUGAGAAUAAAAUAUAAAAACGUGUGGAUGUGUACAUGUUUAAAAAAAUGUAUAAACACAUAUAUAUAAAAUAUAAGGUAUAAAAAUAUAAAGGAUAAAAGAUAGAAUAAAGGAAAUAAAAUGUAUGUAAAACGUAUGCAUGCAUUUUAAAGCUUAAGGAUGUAUAUAUGCUAGAAAUGAAAACAUGAAAAGUGAAUAAUAAAAGUUAUACGUUUGUAAAAAACGAAAUAUAAAACAAUAUGUAUAUACACGUACAUGAAAAUCAUAAAUGGAAUUAGUGUAAUAAUAAUAGUAAUAAUAAACGUGUAACAGUAUAUUAAAAAAAGAAAAAAAACUAAAUAAAGUAAAGAAAAGACCAAAUUGAAUAAAAAAACCAAAAAAAUAGGGGCAAAUUCGAAAAUAAUAAAAAAGGGAUGAAUUCGAACACGCGAGCGGCAAUGGGGGACCAAAAGAGCAAUUUACCCAGGCCUCCAAAACGCUGCGCUGAAGGGGACUGAAUUGAAACGUGAAUUGAAUAUGCGGCCCAAUUUUAAAACAAAAAAAAAGAUUUAAUUGACAUGCGCUGCAAAAGGGAGGGGUCAAAUGCACAAAUAACCCAUAUGACGUUAGAACGCGCGGAUCCUCCCCUCCGGGUCGGGUCACCGCGCGAGUCACACUUGACCAAAACGACGCCGUUUUGAAUGUUGUUUAAAACAAAAAUUUUCCUUCCAAAAAAAUCCAUUUGAAAUCGAAUGGGAAAAAAAAAAAGAAACUCCGGCGCUCUGCUAGGGUUCAAUCCCUAGCGUCCUUGCGCCGCCACUCAAUCGGCCCUCUCACCAAACUCCGAUCACGACAGAGAUGGCGGUGGCACGGCGUUUUUAGGUAUGUUUUCCUCCCUUUUUGUUAUUUCAAAUGAAAUAAAAUGAAAAUAAAGAAAAAAAUGUAAAAACGAUAAACACUUUUAACAAUAAAAAAGAAAUCACCUUUAAAACAAAACAAGUUUUUUUCUGCUUUUAUUCCCGAUUCUCUCCGUCAAAAAUCCGUCCUUUUUACAGAUAAAAGUCGGCCUUUUAUAGCCUGAAAACCUAUUUGUUUUACACUAUAUUUUCGCUAAUGGACUCUCUGAAUCCGUGUUUGCAGGUGCGUGGAGAGUGGAGGCCGAAACGUGCGGAGGCUGCAGGAGGCUGUUGCGGCGCUGGGCAUGGGCUGCUGAGGCUUGCGGCGCUGAAGCAGAGAGGCUCUAGGGUUUCUGCUUUCAACGUUUUUGGUGUAUUGGGCUUGAACGGCCCAUUUUUGUUUUGUAAAUGGUCUGGGCCAAUUGGGCCUUAUUACACGUAUUAUAUAUAUAUAUAUAUAUAUAUAUAUUAUAAACCAAUGGCUAAAAAUUUUUCUAAUCCUUCUAGCUUUCUUUAUAUGAGAGUCGUUAAAUUUUAGUUUUGAUUCGUAUACUUUGCUCAAAUUUUAAAUUUAAUCUAUAUACUUUAAUUUUUCAUAAUUUAAUUUCUCAUCCUUUUUAAUAUCAUUAGUUAAUUUAAAUAUUUUAUUCCAAAAACUUGAAAUAUAAUAAUUUAAUUAAAAGAAUAAAUAAUCAACACGAAGCAUGGGUGAGAAUCAUAAAUCAUGCAUGACUUCUAUCAUUAAGUAUCCUUAGCAGUCUUUUUAAGCUGUUAUUAUUAUAUUAUUAUUUUAUUCGUGCAUUGAAAUUAAAUCAAAUCCGAAUAUAAUACGUAAUUUCUUUUUGACCGGUCCAAGAUUAAGUUUAAUAAAAUCUAUUUGCUGUAUAUUUAUUAUUAAGAAACAUUGGUCUUAGUACGUCUCCUUUAGAAUAUUUACACUUAAUUCGCAUUAAAUAUAAAAUAUGAUUAUAAUUAUUUAAAUUCUUUUGUUUGGAAAGGAUAAAAUAUGAAUAUUUACACUUGAAAAGUAUUUUGUUUAAUAGGUUGGUUUGUCUUAAUUUUGAAUAUGGAAAUUAAGUUAUCUUGGAAAAGGAAGUUACAUGAGAGAAAAACUUGUUAAUCCUUAGAAUUUUCAGCAUUUUUAUAGUAAUUUUGAAAUGGUUAAUAUUAUUGUUGAGUAUGACUUAUAGUUAAAUUUAAGAGAUAAUCUCUUAGUUAAACUCUGUUUAUUUGUUUCAGUUAAAUUUUGAUUAGUCUAGAUUAUUUUAUUAUUAUUUGACCUACGAAUUUAGCCUAUAAAUAGGAUCUUUUACAACAUUAUAAAAAACACCCAUUAAAAUAUUAGAACUCAUAACACUUUUGGAGAAUUUUGUAUUUACAUUUUGAGGGUUCUUUUUUUUAGGUUUCGGGGUUUAGUUUUUAUCUUCAUCUUUUGUAAUUUUUAUUUUUUUGUCAUUAUAGUAAAAUUAUCUUUAUCCGUGGUUUUUUAUCCUCUUUGGAGGGGUUUUUUUCACGUUAAAUUUGUGUGUUCAAUUUCUCAAUUGCUUCCGCUAUUUUUUACUUGUUUGUUGCUUAAUCGGAUCAAUUCCCAACAAUCAUCAUAUAAUAUUUUUUAUAUGUUGCUAGUGAAUUGAGGACAUAUUUCUAAAAUUUAAAUGAAUUUUUUCUUUUGUAUUCUUUAUAUUCAUUUUACGGUAAUGCAUCACAUAUAAAUCCAUUUUAAAUUGAAAUCCAUGUUUUAUCAUUUACAUUAUCUUAUAUUAUUUUGAGCUAAUUCAAUCAAUUGUCUCUAAAUUAUUGUCAAUAUUUUUAAGGUAUAAUGUCAAAUUGUUUACAUCUUUUUUCAGUUUGGUUCUUAUUCUUUUUUGAGUUAUAAAUUUGGCCCUCAAUUUUUUUUAAAAAAUUGUCAAAUCACUUUUUAAUGAAAAUAUUCAUUAAAACCUUAUUUUUUAACGAUGUUGGUAUGUCAACCCGUGUGGUAAUCCACGUGUACUUCAUGCUAACAUGACACUUUAUCUUAUAUAUCACACCAAGAAAUAAUUUAAAUUAUAAAAAAUUCCAAAAAAAAACGAGAGCAUGAAGUACAUGUGGAUUGCUAUGCGAGCUGUCAUGUCUAAAAACCUAAUGUUUAGCUAAUAUUUCCGUUAAAAAAAUAACAAUUUAAUUUUUUUUGAAAGGUUGAUGGUCAAAUAUGAUUUUUUUUUAAAGGUCGUGAGCCAAAUUGAUAAAAAAAAAUGUAAACAUUAAGGGAUAAAUUUGACAUUAUGCCAAUUCUUAAUUAGUUUUAAACUUCAAAAUAUGUUAUUGACAUGGUAUCAAAUAGGUUUUCCAUUAGCAUAGUAGUUAAUUUAAGUGUUAAAUGUCAAUUAGGAUAUAAUGUGGAGCCUACUUAAAACAUGAAUUAAAUUGUAAAUUUGAGUAUUGUCACUUCCCAAAAAUAAGGCUAGAAGAAAUAGGGAUAAAAUUUAGAUUUUAUUUUUUUAAGCAUAGGGUAAAAGAAUUUAGAAUGCCUUAAAAAUUAUUUUUGAUAAGAAAUUAACAAGAAUUAGUCUACUAGUUCAUUGGUAAGGCCUUAGCUUUCUCUUGGGUCUCAAGUUUGAAAUCUCUUGUUCACCUUUCAAGCAAAAUAUUUUAUUUUCUUAUUUUUACCCCAUAAAAGUGCCGAAUUUUCAAACUAGCCCAAACCAAAAAUUGUUAUUUUCUAAUUUAGUCCUUAAUUUAAAAUAGUCUUGCUUCUCCAUGGAAUCCUAAAACCUAUUUCAAUUAGGGAAAAAGAGUUUUAUAAUUAGGAAAUCUUUUCAAAACUCUAGAAAUUUUAUCUAGUGAAUUUUUCAAGGAAAACUCUCAAGUUCUUCAUUUUCUCCAUCAUUACCAAACCAAUUUUCAAGCAAAGAAAUCCAAGGUUUCCAAAAUCGUCCCUCUCCUCCCAAGUAGACCAUCAUUCUCCUCAUCCAAAUUAAGGUUUUUGUGUCUUCGAAUCAGGUGUGGGAUCUAAACAUAAAUCAUUAUAUAUGAUUAACUGUAGUGUUAGGAAGUAAUAAGACUGCUAUGCAACCCCUCAUGUUAUGCGAACCCCCUUGCAUGUGCGAGCCCUGUGUGUGAUCCCCGUGUGCAAAACCCCCUAUGUGUGAGCUUGUGAGCGAACCUCUAUACGCGAACCCCUAUAGAUGAACUAUAGCUUGUAUAUACAUAUGCAAACCCUCAUGAUUUUUAGUAUAGGAUUUAAGUUGCAAACCCUAUAUAUAUUACGCGAGGCAUAUAUAUCAUGCGCACCCUAAACAUACUUUGCGAGCUUUAUAUAACAUGCAAACCCUAGGUAAUAUGUGAAUCGAGUAUAUCAUGCAAACCCUAGGUCCUAUACGAGCUAUAUAUAUCAUGUGAACCAAAGCUUGCAUAUCAUGAAAAUCCUAGGUACUAUGCGAACCCCCUGUGUUACAAACCCCCUGUAUGUCCGAACUCUGUUAGGCGAACUGAAGCAUAUGUGCGAACCCUACAUGUACGAACCCCUAGGUGCAAACCCUACAUGCGCUAACCCAUAUGUGCAAUCCUAUAUGUGCGAACCCUGUAUGUGCAAACCCUGCUUAUGUAUGUGUUAGCCGAACUAAGAAUGUUAAUAUGCAUGAAGAUAUUGUAUAUGUGAAAUUGUUUUAGAUCGCUUAAAUUAAUUGUAUAUGUGAAAUUGAUGGGAAUGGAUGAAUGAUCACAUGCCAUUAAAUGAUAGUAUGAAAUAUCAAAUGAAGCAUUGAAAGAUGAUAAAUAGCAUAAUAUGCUAAUUGUAUGUGCAUAAUUACAUGAAUUUAGGUAAGAAGGUCGAAGGAGUUCCAUAGGAGAUAGUGGCAAUUCAAGUCCACACCAAAAGUCAGUAUUGCACAGAGUAGGUGGCUAUGUCAUCAAAACUGGAUAAAUCAGGAUGAUAGUUUAAAAAGCCAUAAAAAAUCGGGUAACUGAGAUGGUAAGUUAUUGUUGUAAAAGUCAUCGUCACAUAUGACAAGUGAACGACCAUCGUCAUCGGAAAUCAAAUCCGAGAUGGUUAGUUUUUUUUAUGUGUUUUGGUGUGUCGAGCGAUGCUUGAUGGCGAUUAAGAUGGACAGGUUGGAAAUUAAAUUUAUAAUUGCAUUUGCAUCAUGAAUAAACUAUAUAUGCAUUGAAUCACUACAUGUUCCUUACAUCAGCUUAACUUGUAUUAUGCUUGAUUUGUUAUUAUGCUAUAAAUUAAAUUCUAUAUUAUUUGAAUGAUUAUAUAUAACGGUUUAAAAAUUAGACUCACACUGAGCUAUCAUAAGCUCACCCCCCAUUUCUUUACCUCUUAGGUAAUGCAGGAAACUAGGUCUCGGAAUGGCAUAAGAAGAACCUCGAAUUAGCAACUUGUUUUGGUUUUAUUUAAAAGUUUCAUUAAAAGUUUUCCUUAAUAAUUUAUUUUUGGGUUUGUAAUUAUUAAGUAUUUUCUCGUUUUUAUAUCAUAGGUUUGGGAUUUGUUUAGCUUAUUUAUUUUAAGCAUGUCAUUUGAUUAUUACUCUAAUAUUUGCAUGCUAUUCAGUAUAGGAAACUAUUAUUCUAAAUGUUUUCUGCUGCUUUACAAAAUACUUAAAGUUUUGAUAGGUCUUUUCUUAAAAACUUAAAAGUCGUUUUCUUAAAACUUCAUAUCAAUUAUACUGUAGAUGAACUAAUAAGUCAAAUUGGUUUAAUGAAUGAAUGUUUUUCUAAAAACAAAAGAGUAUUUCCAUACAAAUCAAACGCAUCUAAAAAGAACGGUUUUACAGGAUCACUUCGGUGAUCGAAUGUAAUGCCUUUGACUUAGCCGAAACUCCUAGGCCAGGUCGAGGAUGUUACAUAUAUAUAUAACUACGACAUGAAAAACCUGGAUUUGACGUAUUAAAAACUAGUAUCAAUUAAAUUUUAUCUAUGCAAUAGAUAUAUAUGUUUUUUAUAAUUUGAUCUACGAAUUUUAAAUAUAUUUCAUCUCAAAUUUGAGUUGGCAUUUAAUGCCUAAACUAAUUGUUGAAUUAAUAAAAGGACUUAAUUGAUAUGAUAUGAUAAUUUGAGAACUAAAUUAAAACAUUUUAAAAAUUAAAGAUGAAUUUAAAAUCCCAUAAUUUGAGAACAUUGCGUCUAAUGUGUUUAUGGUGAAUUGUAAACAAAUCCUUGGUCAAACCUGACAUGCUCUAUAAAAAUCCAUGAAAAAUCAGUUGUAAAAAGGUAGAAAAGAAAGGCAAAUACUUUCAGAUGCUUAACCGACUUCAUUCAAUUUUUAUUUUCAUAUAAAAAAUACUUAAUAUAUUUAAUAUAUAUUUGAUGGUUGAAUUUUUUACAUAAAAUAAAUUAAAUUUAUAUAAAAUUUGUUAUGCAUAAUUUAAAGGAAUAAACCAUAAAACAUAAUGGUUUUAUCGUUAAAAUAUUAAUUAUAUAAAUAAUUAUAAAAGUGUAUAAAAUUACUUUAAUUUUUAUUAAUUUUUAAUUUCUUCGUUAUUAUUUUUAUUAAUUUUUUUUAAAAAAAUUAUAAAAUAUUUGAUGUUUAGAAUUUUAAGAAUGAUACAUAUAAACAAUUUCUUUUCUUAGUUUUUAAAUUCAUCCAUUUAAAAACAAUUCUGAUAUCCUAAAGAGAGUGGGUCAAAUAAGUAACAAAUUUAUUUAUUUUAAAAUGCUAACAAGUAAACAAAUACAUUUGAUCACUAAGGAUUAAAAGAAACAUGACAAACAUUUUUUAAAGUAAAAUUUUAAAACUUUAUAUCAAAAUAAGUCAGUAUUUUGAAUACUAUAGAGUCGUAUUGUUCUUUCUUUCCAAUCAUAUUUCCUAGGAAAUUAAUAUAAGAUUACUGGUCAAAAGUUUUGUGAAGAGUAUGUCAAAAGCAGAGAAAAGAAUAAAUAUCAUUCAUGCCCUCAAACAUUUUGAUCGAACUGCAAAAGUUUAAAGUAAAUAGAGGAUAUUUAAACCUUUUUUACAGACAUCAACUUUGAAUCAAAAGAAUCAAACAAAAGACAAAUCAACAUUUCUUUUAAUCUAUUUGUAUUUCUCAUGCACUUUGUUUUCUUGAAUUUAAGUUCUCCUUUUUUGACUUCAAAUAUCACCACUAUUUUUCUUACCUAUAAAUACAUGCAACAAUUGCACUCUUAUCCUCACACAAAUUCUGUGCCAAAUUUCAAGAGCAAACCAAGAAAAGGCUGCAAAUUCAGCUUUUCAAUAUCUGCUUUUGAUCAAUCGAAAUGGCUUCACAAGUUUCUCAAAUGCCUUCUUCAUCACCCCUUUCUUCCAAUAAGGAUGAAAUCCGUCCCAAAGCCGAUUUUCAGCCUAGCAUUUGGGGAGAUUUCUUCCUCAAUUGUCCCGACAAGGUAUACAUACAUAUCACCAUAUUGAUAUAAUCUUAACAUAUUAUUUGUUCAAUUAUUUAGUGAUUCAAUAUGAAGAAAAUUUUCAUUGUUUUGAGCAGAAUAUUGAUGCUGGAACUGAAAAACGCCACCAACAAUUGAAAGAAGAAGUGAGGAAGAUGAUUGUGGCACCAAUGGCUAAUUCGACCCAAAAGUUAGCCUUCAUUGAUUCAGUCCAAAGACUGGGUGUGAGUUACCAUUUCACCAAGGAGAUCGAAGAUGAACUAGAGAAUAUCUACCAUAACAACAAUGAUGCCGAGAACGACCUCUACACUACAUCUCUUCGAUUCCGACUACUCCGAGAGCAUGGAUACAAUGUUUCAUGCGGUAAUUAUUGGAACAGAAACAUAGUGUUUUUAAGUUUCUUGAGAAUAUAAUAGCAUGGAAUGUUUGAUAACGAUAUUUCAUUUUGGGUAAUUUCAUGUCAGACGUAUUCAACAAGUUUAAAGACGAGCAAGGGAAUUUCAAGUCAUCCGUGACAAGCGAUGUUCGAGGAUUGUUGGAACUUUACCAAGCUUCCUAUUUGAGGGUUCAUGGGGAAGAUAUAUUGGAUGAAGCAAUUUCUUUCACCACCAACCAUUUAAGCCUUGCAGUAGCAUCUUUGGACCAUCCUUUGUCCGAAGAGGUUUCUCAUGCUUUGAAACAAUCAAUUCGAAGAGGCUUGCCAAGGGUUGAGGCAAGGCACUAUCUUUCAGUAUACCAAGAUAUUGAGUCCCAUAAUAAGGCUUUGUUGGAGUUUGCUAAGAUCGACUUCAACAUCUUACAAUUUUUGCAUAGGAAAGAGCUAAGCGAGAUUUGCAGGUAUGUUUUUUAAUCUCUUUCACCCAUUUUUUCUUUUUCAUCUUAUUUAUUUAUUUAUUUAUUAGUGGAAGGAGGGUUGAAUUUAUUGGAGACAUCAUUCUCAGUAUAGGAGACAAGUUGCAAAUGCUAAUAUUUGAAUCUUAUUAAAUAGUACAAGUUAAAAGUGAUGGCAUGAACCUUGGAUUCAUCUUUUUCACCUAUAUCAUUUUACUUAUAAAUAUUUUAAUAUUUGAGGUUGCCAAUUGACUUAAAUCUAACAACAUGAAUGUGAAACUAAUUGAAACAUUGAAUAUUAAUUGUGCUAAUGGGGUUUUUUAUGAUAUCAUUUUUUAGGUGGUGGAAAGAUUUAGACUUUCAAAGAAAGUUGCCAUAUGCAAGAGAUAGAGUGGUUGAAGGCUAUUUUUGGAUCUCAGGAGUGUACUUUGAGCCCCAAUAUUCACUUGGUAGAAAGAUGUUGACAAAAGUGAUAGCAAUGGCAUCUAUUGUAGAUGAUACAUAUGACUCAUAUGCAACAUAUGAAGAGCUCAUUCCAUAUACAAAUGCAAUUGAGAGGUUAGAUUUCUUUAAUUUUGUUGGUAAUAGGUUAGGUUUCUUUAGUUGAAGUUAACAUUCAAUAAUAUAUUACGAGGAAUGAUUAAAUAUAACGUUGAAGUUGGAUUCAGGUGGGAUAUCAAAUGCAUAGAUGAACUUCCUGAAUACAUGAAGCCGAGCUACAAGGCACUAUUAGAUGUUUAUGAAGAAAUGGAACAACUGGUGGCUGAGCAUGGGAGACAAUAUCGUGUUGAAUAUGCGAAAAAUGCGGUAUGUACAUCAACAAACAUUUAUUUUGUACAAAAGAGAUAAGAUCUUAGCUAAAUUCUAGAUUUGAAUAAACAACUAACUCGAAUAACAAUAUAUAAUCAUUUAAAUAUUAUUAUCGAAUUUGAAUUGAUAUUAGUGAUAAUUGUUGGGAUUUUUUCGCUUCAGAUGAUACGACUUGCUCAAUCUUAUCUUGUGGAGGCCAGAUGGACUCUUCAAAACUACAAACCAUCAUUCGAGGAGUUUAAGGCUAAUGCAUUGCCAACUUGUGGUUAUGCCAUGCUUGCUAUUACAUCUUUCGUCGGCAUGGGAGAUAUCGUAACACCAGAGACCUUUAAAUGGGCAGCCAAUGACCCUAAGAUAAUUCAAGCUUCCACAAUUAUUUGUAGGUUUAUGGAUGAUGUUGCGGAACACAAGGUAUAAUAAUAUAUUUAGAUAACCACAGGAAACCGAACUCUUAACUAAAUAAUUCAAUGUCUUUGUAACAAAAUCAAACGAUGGUUUUUAUCAUGAUCUAAAAAAAAAUAAAGUUUAAUGUUUAUAUAUAAAAUGUUUAGUCUCAAAUUGAAGAAUAAGAAAAGAAAUCUAGUUUCAUUUUAGGGCUUUUAGUGAGGAAGUAUUGUCAAUAAAUGUAUUUUAUCGUCACAAACAAAGGUAGUUUAAUAAACUGAUAGAUUUUAGGGUAUAUAGUGAUAGAAUAAUUUUGAUUUUAUUAUGGCUGCAGUUUAAGCAUAGGAGAGAAGACGAUUGCUCAGCAAUAGAGUGUUACAUGGAAGAAUAUGGCGUAUCAGCACAAGAGGCAUAUGAUGUAUUCAACAAGCAUGUUGAGAGUGCCUGGAAGGAUGUGAAUCAAGAGUUUCUGAAACCAACAGAAAUGCCAACAGAAGUUUUAAAUCGUAGCCUAAACCUUGCAAGGGUGAUGGAUGUACUUUACAGGGAAGGAGAUGGAUAUACAUAUGUUGGAAAAGCGGCUAAGGGUGGAAUCACUUCAUUGCUUAUUGAACCAAUUGCACUUUGAAAUUUAUAUUAAAUUUUCCUCUUCAAGCAUCUUCCUUAAGAAAUAGUUAUUAAGUUCUAAUUAAUAAUGUUGUAUAAUAUUCAUAUAUAUUAUCAAAGAAAGUCCGAAUCGAUUGUCUUUGUACUCAUUACCUUCUAUUAAUUCAAUAAAGUUCUUUUCAAGCUUUCCAUUAUGAAAAAUAUUCUUUUUUAUAUUUUAUAUUUACUUAUUUUUAUAUACUUUUUUAUAUAAAAGAAUAUGUGAUGUAAAAGUAGGACGAAUUAUAAAUAUUGGAAUUAAGAUAAUAAUAAAAAUCCACUAUCCCUUACCACUUUAAGUUUAUUGACAUAAACUUUGAACUCGUUAUUUAUUUAAUUUUGAUGAAGUUUGACAUAUAAAAUACAUUGAUUAAGUUUGACAUAUAAAAUACUCACUAUUAAUUGCGGCUUAAAAAUCAUCAAAUUUGUAGCCAAUCUUAAAGGAUUAGUAGUCAAUUUCAAAAUAAUUAUUUCUUAAAUGGAAUGAUCGGAAUGGAUUAAAUUGGUUGAUUGAUUAAUUUUUUUAUCAAGUUUAAUUAGGGAAAUAUUUUGUUUCAGAUAUUGGAGUGGAUGAUUUCCAUAAAAUAGAGACAUAGAUGUGAUUGAUCAGACUGACAGUACAUCGGACAAGAACCAAGUAGAAUAAAUUCUAGAUCCAUUUAUGGAUUUAUUCACUUAUGACAUUCAUAGUGUGAUAUACUUUAAUAUUGAAUGGAUAAUUGAAUGGAUAAGGGAGUAUGUAUAUGUGACUCGGAUGCUUUGAUGUAAAUGAAAACAGGUGUUCAAAUAGAUAAAUAAUCCAAAGUUGGUACAUUGGGUAUAUGACUUCUGCAUGAUGUAGGAUCAUUCCACAAUAGUGAAAUUCAUAGCCCAAUUAAGGGGAAAUGAUGAUAGAUGGAAAGUAAUGUGACCAUAGGUCAUUUGUCUUAGAGAUAAAUUAUUUAAUUAGUAAUUGACUUUUCAUGAAUGAAGAUGUUAUGGUUACCAUGACAUAAAACAGUAUCAUAAUGGGAGCACGGGUUUAUCUCAAAGAGAUUAAGGAUAUCCUAUGAGAGUAACAUACUUAUGACAAGGUAUUUGAAUGAACACUUAAUUAGUAGAUUUUAUAAUAGUAUAUAAUAAAGAAGUGUUCAAUCAUGGUACUUUAGUGGAAUGACUCUAUAAUUAAAUAAUAUUGUAAUUAAUAGAUGAAGAGUCGAAACUUAAUUACAAAUUAUUUGAGCCAUAAUUUUAUAUGUUCAAUUGGUCUCUCUGUUAGCUCAAGAUAAGUCAAAACAAAUUGCAUGCAAAACCAAUCAUAUGAAAUGAAUGAAAACAAUGAAAUAAGAUAAAUAGAUUGCAUGUAUACUAUCUGUAAUGAAUGCAUUUUCUCGCUAAUUACAAAAGAUGACUUAUAAAUUAAUUUAACUUCUUUAUAUUAUUAUUUAAUUAAUUGUAAUUAUUUAGAAUUAAUUUAAUUUGUCAACAUGGAUUUAUUGAAAGGGAUAAUUAAAUAUUUUUCCUCCUAGAUUCUAAUACGGUAAAGUUGUGUGACUUCAACAAAAUUAGAAUUGGGUUGAGAAAAGAAUUUAAUUGUGAAAUUAAUUUAACUAAUUAGUUAAUUAAAUUAAGUUAUUAAUUAAUAUUUUAAGAAAUAGAAAAUAAUUAUUGGGUUAGAUAAAUUAUAAAUAUUAGAUAAAAAUCUAGAUAACACAUAUAAUAGUACCUAAUACAUGAAAGACUCAAAUUAAGCCCGGUUUAAUAUAAGGAGUAACAAACCCUAAUACCCUAGGGGUGCCACUACCCACUCCUUAUUCUACUUCCAAGUAGAAUUUAUAUUUUUAUUAAAAUAUAUAUAAUUAAUUACACUUAAUUCGAACAAAACUCUUAUACCAUAUCUCUAUAAAUAACACAAUUUUGAGAGCACCAUUAUUUUGUCGAAAAAUAGUGACAAUUUUAUUUUAUAAUAAAUUUUAUUUUUUGAGAAAAAUUUAAUUUUUGGUUAUAGAGAGAAUUAAUUUUCCCUUUUGAAAGUUAAAAAAAGUUGUAACACCCCAAGAUUUGGGAAUUCCUAAAUUUGGACGCAUAGUUCAAAAGUAAUUUGUUCGUUCAAAAGUCCUAAGUUGUAACACAUGCAGAAUAAAUUAUUAUGAAGAAAGAAAGAUAUUAAUUUCAUUGAAAACUUUGAAUUAUAAAUAGACGCCUUUGGUGAAAUUUACUUAAUUCCCUUUCAAUAUUUCAUUUCAAUUCUAAUGUAUUAGAUUUUCUUUUAAGGCAUCUAUUGGAGCGAGCGUAGUAACUAAUUUUUCGUAUUCUGUAGGUUCAUUAAAGGAUAGAUGUUGACUCUAAAUUUUAAAGCCGCUUCAUAUUUAGGACCCAUAAAAAAAACAUUAUCAUCUCACUUAACUCUCGUAGUUAAUGUAUUAGAAUAUUUUAAAUGAUGAAUUUAAAUAUAAAUUUUUAGUAUCGACUAAAUCAUACAGCUACGGAGAUUACAAUUCAAAUUAAAAAAUAUGUUAAAUUAAAUAGUGAAAAAUACGUUAUUCAAAGAGUGAAGCUGUCUUGUUUGUAUGGUUAGAUUUUAUUAGAAUUUUUUUUAUAUAUUUCAUGCUUAUUUUAUGGUUUACGUUUAUCAGUUUUCGUUGUUUUUUUCAAUGAAUUUCGUAACUAUACAGUGAGAAUCCGUCACUAAAGUUGACUAAUUUGUCAUUUCCGAUGAUUCAAAUGACUUUUCAACACUCUAAGUCUAGAGUCAAUAUUUUAUUGCUUUUUUUUAGAUGGCUGAAAAUAUGAUUAAUGUGCCUUUCUUUUCUUCCUUAAAUUAUGUCAUUAUGUUAAUUAACUUCUUUUUUUCAUAUUAUUUCAAUAUAAUAUAUAUUAGAAUAAAUUUAAAAAAUCAAAAAUCAGUUUUGAGUAAUUAUUAUUAUUUGAAUAAUCUCAUUAUAGGUUCUGGUCAUAUUAUUUUUAACACAAUGGUUAAAACUAUCCAUAACCCCUCUCCAACGAUAAAUAAGACUCAAACGCACAUACUCCUGUAUUGACAACAAUAUCCAUGUUAAUCGAACUAAAAUUUAAUCGACAUAGCUAAUUUUUUUUUAAUAUACGAUAAAAGAUAAACCAAACUUUGAUCUUAUUAAUCCAAACUCAAACAUGAUUAUCUUGAUUUGAUAAUAGGAAAAAAUUUAAAUUAACCCAAAAUAACUUAAAUGGAAAACACCCAAACUUUAAAACUCUUGCAAGUAUUUGAUUGAAGAUUGUUAAUUAACAUUUAAAAAAAUUGUUUUACGUUCAUUACAUUAUUUUUAUUAAGCUAAAAAGUAAUUAAUGGUGUAUAUUUUAAUGUGAUCCAACACCAUAUGUUAAAAUUUAUUAGUAUUCAUUUUCAAGAUUUGGUUAUGAUAUUUAAUUUCGUUUAUCUUAUACUCUUGUUUUCUUUUCCCAAGGAAUAUUCAAUAAAUGUUGCCAAUGUAUAUCUCAAAAUAAUGACUAUGAUUUGAAAUAAAAUAAUGUUAGAUGCAUGUACCUUUCUCUUUGUUUCUCUAUUCGAUUUUUCUUAAUGAUAAUUAUAUCUACCAUUUGAGUAUUUAAUCAUUACUAGGGGACUGAAGGUAGAAAAAAUAUUUUCAUUAACGUUUAUGUAAGAAUUAAAUAAAAAAAUUUGAUUAAAAUUGUAAAGUGAAAUAUUUAAAAAUUAUAAUAUAAAUUUAUCGAUUCUAUAUAAAAAUAUGUGAAAAAGAUAAAAUCACCCUCUGACGAAUUUUUAAAACCAUACGAAGCCGCCACCAAUUUCUUUUAAAGAGUGGUUGACUGCAUAGAAAGUUUAAAAUCAUUAAAACAAAUUUUGAUGGGCGAAACUAAAUCUGAGUUUAAGAGCACGAUUAUGCGUCAGAAAGAAAGAUGUUAGCAUCCUCAUGACACCCAUUAUUAAAGGGAUACCAAAAUAAUCAUGAGUAUUUGUAGAUUGGAUUAAAAUAACUUUAAUUCUAAUAUUUAAAAACCAUUGCUCAUAAUAAAAAAUAAUUUUUAUUUAUAUAAAAUGAAUUUUUACUAGAUCCAAAAUGGUUGGUAUCCUUUGAGAUAAAUAGUAAGAAUACAAUAAUAAAUUAAGCUCUCAACGUUUAUAUUUUUGUCAAUUUGGCCUUUUUUUUUUCAAUUAAAUUUUGUCAUUAAACUUUUAAAAAGAGUUGAAUCGCUUUUCUUUACUAGAAAUGUUGAUUAAAACAUUAAGUUUUUAACAACGUUGGCAUGGCAAUCUAUGUGUACUUCACACAACAAUUAAUUUAAAAAUAUUCAAAAUUUAAAAUUUAAAAAAAGUUAAUAAAAACUCAAAAGAAAUUUGCAUGAAAUAUAUGUAAAUUGUCAUGUGAGGUAUCAUGUUUAAAACAUUUAAUGGUUAAAUUCAAUUGUUAUUGAAAGAUUAAUGGUUAAAUUUAACUUUUUUUUAUAAGAUUGAUGACAAAAAAAUAAAGGUUAAAUUGAUAAAAAAAAAAGAUAAACAUUAAAAACUAAAUUUACGAGUAUGCCUUUAGUCACAUUUGUGGGUGGUACAUAUACCCAAAACACUUUGUUGGGUACUUUACUAUUGAGGUUGUCCACGAUAACAUAUAACCCACAUGUGGUGUUUCCACUUUUGAAACCCAAAAGAUAUAUCCCAAGUGCAUGUUGCAUAGAAGACUCAAACACGCACACAUCCUAAUAACACAAACAAAUUUUGCAAUCUCUCACAUGAAAUAAACAAAAUUUGCAAUCUCACACUCUGAAGGACUCAAGAAUAGUGAGAUUCCAAGAGCAUGCAACCAUACACCUAAAACCAUGAAAUUAUUUACCUUCAAUUCGUGUUUAUUCGAAGUAAGAUUUCAUCGUAUGCAAACGAGAGAGGGUUACAAUACAAAGUAGAUCCUCUCUAUAUAUAUGCUCCCUUCUUGGUUCUUCUUCUACCUCACUUGUAAGCUUCCUGUCUUUCUCCUUUGAAUGCUUCACUGUUCUCUUCACCUCUCUCUUUUUUCUUAUUACCUUUUUCUUUCUCUUCCCUUGCAAAAUGAGGGAGGAGGUCAUGCCACCCUUAAAUGUUAAUAACAUUGACAAAUACCAUAAAAACCAAAAAAUAAAAAUAAAAAAGAAUCAAAAUUUAUAGUCAAAAUCAAAGUUAAGGUCAAAAAUUAAAAUCAACCGCCGAAACUUAGAGCAAUAUUAAACUUGGAUUUUUCAAAAUUAAACUUGAAAUAUGGUUACCUGCGGUAGUGACUUUAAAAUCGAGUUUUUCCCGAAUAAGAAUGAGUUACAAUACAUAUAAAUAAUAAUUUCUUAACUAUUUUUCUUUAAAUUUUAAAUUAAAUUAAUAUUUAAUUGAUUCGUGAUACCUAUUUAAAAUUUUAAUCUAAAGUAAAUAUAUCCAUCAAUAAAUGUCUUAAUAAUACUAUCACUAUCUAUAUUUUUAGUAAUUAAAAUUAAAUUUUCGAUAAUGAUCCAUUUAUAUACGUAUAAAUUUAAAGUAAUUUUACAGUUUUUUAUAUCUCUUAAUAUGAUUAAUAUUCUAAGUAUUUAAUCGUUAAAAUUAUUAUUUUAUUUAUAUAUUCUAACUAUUUGUUUUAGGUAAAAAAAAUUAACCAUUCAAUAAAUAUUAAUAUAUAUCUAUAGUAUUUUAGAUUGAUGUGAUGAAGAUAUAUAUUAGAUUAAUUCAAAAAUAUACAUGCAUGACAAGUAUAAUUAUAUCAAUAAAUCCGACGGUUAAAUUGUUACAAUAUUAAUCUUAAAAAGAGAUAUGAAAGAGUAAAUCACUGUAAAUAGAUCUCCCAAAAUAAUUUGUAGUUAAUGUCCCAAAUUUCCAUAUAUAUAUAUAUAUAUAUAUAUAUAUAUAUAUAUAUACACGAUAAUGUGACCACUAGAUAGACUAUUUUGGACAUUAAAUGACGUACCAAAAAAGGAAAGAAAAAAAUAAUUCAAAAACGACACACUCUCCAUUGAUAUUUUCAUUUUAAGGUUGUAUUCUUUUGACUUAAAAAGAUAAUUAAAAUUAAAAAAAAAAUACAAUAAUUUUAUCGUGUUAUUGAUAAAUAUAAUAUUUUAGGAAAAUAUGGAAUAUUUUACUUUUGAAUUUCAUAUGGAUAAUAAAUGUGUAUAUAUAUGAACUCUUCAAGGAUAAUUUAAUUAUUAUUUAAUAAGAAGAUUUGGUAACUAACGUAUUGUUUUGACUAAAAGGACGUUUAGUAUGAUGGAAAGUUAUCAUUUUUUAUGACAUAUAAUUGGUUAAAAUGUGAUUCAAAUUUAAUUUCCUUGGAAUGUAACAUUCUCUUUGGAGAUACUUUCCUUAGGUAAUGGAAAGUGAUUCCCUUGAUAAUUGGUAAGAAAGUUACUUUCUCAUAUAGAUCGAAAGUAAAAAGAAUUUAUUAAGACAAAAUUAUAAUUUUUUUUUCUAUUUGUGUUUACGAUUAAAAUUUAAAUUGAAUGUAUUUUUUAAUAUAAAAUUUUUAAAUUAUAGUUUUUCGAUGAUAUGAAAUUUUAGUAUCAAGAAAAGUGCUCAAACGAAAUUUAUUUUCGAGUUUAAAAGAAAUAUUUCAUUUCUUAAUGCACAAAUACUUGCUAGCUUUUUUAUACAACAAUAUUGAUCCAUAUCUUCUACAUCUUUGGAGAAAAAAGGGAGGUGCAAGAAGGAGAAAAUAAGGCGGCGAGCAUAAUGGUAAAACCAGGGAAGAAAAGAGGAUAAUGUCAUGUGCUUACUGUCUCUAGUGCUUGAAACCAUUUUGAGCUAUUUUUUUCUUUGAAUCCAAACCUUCCUAAGCCUUAGAAUGUUACAAGCCGAGAAGACCUAUGUGACCUAAGCAUUUCCUUUACAUGAUCUUCUUGACUUGUUUAUAGUUAGCUUAUUGAAAGCUUUGGAUUUGCAUGUUGUGUCUACUAUAUAUCUAUAUAAGUUAUAUUGAUGGAUAACAUAAUUGAGUAUUUACUCAUUUGAAUCGCCAAGGUUUAUUAGUUUUUUAACUUAGUUAACUAGGUAGAUUUGCUUUAGGAGUACUUAAGUUAGCUAAAAAUCAAUCUUAAAUUGCAUGUGAAAUACGUCUUGUAUAAAUUCAAUAUUCGAUUGUCAUGCUUCUUAUUGUUCACCAUAUUCCAAGGGUCAUCUUAUGCAUGUUUUGUGUGUUUGCUUGUGGACAAACAACAACUUAAGUAUGGAGGAGUUUGAUCUAUCGUAUUUAUGUGUUAAAUUAAGCUAUUUAUUCUUGAGUAUUUUAUAUCGUCUGUUAUUACUUUCCCACAAUUAUUAGAUUUAAUACUUAACAUUAGUUUUUAUUUCGUUUUUAUGUUUUCGGAAUAAAAUGACAAGUUUAUGACAUUAGUAACUUAAUCUUUGAGUUAAGCUUGGUACAGUUACUUGGUUGAUGUGAAAAUGAGAAGAGGAGCCUAAACUAGAGCAAAGGUUGCGACACCAAUGCUUCCAACAUCAUCCGAGGAGUGAGACUUCAAUAAAUUGCACAUUUGUGGAGAUUACUUCCAUUGUUGCGACACCAAGGAGUUGAUGUCGCAACACCAACCUUGGUGGUUUUAACACUGGGCUAGCAAUGUCGCAACAUCGAUCAUAGCCUCUAAAGUUGAAGAACUCAAGUUGCCUGAAGACAAUGUCAUGACACCAAAGGCCAUUGUUGCAACACUAAAAUACCCAAUAACCCAAAUGUGUAGACUAUCAUAGGUGUCGUGACAUCGACCCUUGACGAGGCAAAAUAGUUGAGGGUAUUUUAUUGUCCAACAACCUUCAAAUUAGAUUUUUAAGGGGGGCAUAAUUAUCAUUUUUAGGUUAAGUUAGAAAAGACUAUAAAAACUACUUUAUAAGUCUUUUUGUAGUAGAGUUGUAGGGUAGAACAUAUUUCUACUUUUCAUCUUUUUAGAUUAUAUUUAUUUUUCUUUUCUUUUCUUUCAUUUUCUUUAGAAUAAUUUUAGCUAUAGAUUUUCUUCUCUUUUAUCGAGAACUCUGUAAAUGGAGAUGAUCAAGCUUGUGGGCUUCAUCGUAUUUUAAUCUAUUAAUGAGCAUUUUCUCAUAUCCUUAUCUUUUAUAUUUUAUUUCUACCAUGUGUUUAAUAAAAUGCUUGUGUAGGAUUUAAGUUUUAUUAUAUGCUAAAUUGGUUGAUGGUUAGUUGAUGAAAGUGGUCCUUUCUUGGUCUUCCUAAGCCAUCAAGAUGUGAUUAUGCCCAGAAAAAGGUGUCAACCAUUUUUUCUUUGACGAGGAGAGGGAAGCUAUCUUUUGGGCAAGCUUUAUUGAGGUUGGUGAAAUCCAUACACAUCCUUCACUUGCCAUUAGACUUCAACACCAUGACUAUAACACCUCACACCCGACUCGAUUGUUGGAUCCAAAUGCGUGAUGUCACAUUACGUUACCGAAACAACUCAAACUAUCUCAUUUUAUAAUAAUAAAAUUUAAAUCAUAAUUAUCAUAUAAACUGAUUUAAUCAUCAAACAUACUCACACAUAUGCAUUCAUAGUGUUUAGGAUUCAAUUCAUCAUGUUAUGGGGUUAUGCAAGGUUAAAUUUAGAGUUAGGACUCAAAUCCAAACUCAACUAUCAAAUUUCAAUGUUAUGUCUCGAGAUAGAGGACUUCUUGUUUUCAAGAUAGUCCUCAUUUUAUUUUAGGUAUUUUUUCUUCGAUGCCAACAUGUCUCGAGACACUGGAGGUAGUGUCUUAAGGGAAGGUUCUUUGCGUCUCGAGGCCAACCUCCCCUGUUUCAUUAAUUUAGCUUCGAUGUUUAAAUGUCUAGGGACAAGGGUUCUUGUCUCGAGACUUGAAACAGAGCAAAUCUAAUUUAGCUUCAAAGUUUACUUGUCUCAAGACAAUGACCCCUUGUCUCGAUGCUUGAAUAGGAUUGUCUCGAGACUAGCUUGCCAAAUCUUGAGACACUAAACAUAUAAGUUAAAUUAUAAGGUAAAUUUUGUUCUUAUGGUCUCGCGACAUGUUCCUACUAUCUUGCGACUCAAUGGUAAAAUAGCUUUAAAUGCACAUUGUCAUGUGUCCAAACCAUACCAAAUGGCACAUUAAAUAUACCAAAAUUUUACAUCAAAUUAAGGCCAUAAAUUAAACACAUAUAAACACAAUUAAACAUCAUCAAAUCAUAACCAUCAAUGUAACAUCUUUUAAACAACUAAUUUACAUAAUCAAACUGAUAUAAACUAGAAUAAUUAACUACUAAUUAAAUAUUAAAAUUCAUCUUAUAAAACCUUAUAGGCCAAAUACAAAAUAUACCAAAAUUAAAACUUAAGCAACAUGCCUAAAACAACCUAGGUACAUGCCAUUUCAACUCAAACACACACACACACACAAAAGAGGUAAUAAGGCAUGUUCUGAGUUGAGUUGUUGAGUUGGAUGCUGGGCAUUAUAAUCUACAUCUACUAACGUUCAAUACUUGCACAUAAAAACAAACAUAACCAUACGUUGAGUAUCGAAUACUUAGUGGUGCUUGUUGAAACCUUCUUUUUUUUUUUUGAAAAUGACUUUUAUUUAAAAAAAAUAAAAAUGGAGUCGCCACUGAUCCUUUUUAUUAGGUGUAAUUGGGCCACCUCAAAUUUUAACCAUCUUAAUAAAAUAUUAGAUUUUUCUAAAAUGAUAAUUUUUAGCCUACGAAAUCCAAGAAUGUGGGUUCGAGAGUCGGUUAUGUAUGAGGAAGGAUUAGCACCCUCAUAAUGUCCAAAAUUGGUACCUAGUUGGUUACUUAAUAUUGUGAUGUCGAGAAUUGAAAAUUCGAAGCAAAUUUAAAAUACGAUCCCUCUUUGUAUGAUAUUAAAAUAUCGCUUAACUAAAUUAAUUUUCACAAAAAGGCCUUCUUUCAAGUUAAUCGAGAAGAAAAGAUCGUGCCCUGUAAGUUAGGACACGAUGCCUUAAAUCCUCGAAAACAAGAAUAAUCGUCAUUUGAUCAUUACUUAAAUCUCGUUUAUUUUUUAUUUUUAAAAUAGAUAUUCAACUAUUUGGGUUUUAGAAAGAGGCCAUACUCCAUAAGUUAGGAGCACGACUCCUCUAAUUCAAAAAUAAUGAACACUGCCUUGGUUUUCCUUUAAAAUAUUUCCUAUUCAUAUGGUAAAACGAAUGCAACCUUUUAACAAUUGCUUUUUAAUUUAUCUAGGCCUAGUAGUAAAAUGGAUGAAUAUGUUUAACGCGAUACACGGCAUGGAUGUUAGCAAAAUAAAGUAACAUAGUAACGGGUAAAAAUGAAAUGAUGAUAUUAAAAUGAUAAGUAAAUAAAUGAACAAAUCAAUAAAUCAAUAAAAUAAAAAAAUGAUAGGUAAUAAUAAUACAACUAUAAUGAUAGUAAAAAAAACAAUUUAUAGUAAUAAUAACGAUAAUCAUAUUAUAAUUACUAUAAUAAUAAUAAUAAGGGCGAAAAAUGCACAAUAAAAAGGAAAUAUAAGUAACAUGAAUUUUAAUUAUAAAAAGGGUAAAGAAAUAAUAAAUAAAUAUAUAAAAACAAUUCAUAAAAGGUUAAAAUUAAAUAAACCAAGGACUGAAUCGGAACUAAAAUGAAAUUAAAAGCAUAAAUUGUAAUAAAAUAAACAAACAAGUAAAUAAAGGACUAAAAUAAGAAAUGUGAAAAUAAACAAGGCUCAAAUUGGUAAUUAUUCCAAACCCCAGGACACAAGUCAUUCCCCGGCAAAUGAAGGACUAAAUUGAAAACAAGUUAAAAUUAAAUGGUGUAAUCUAAAAAGAAAAAAAUUGAGAUUAGGACCAUAUCAAAAAGAAGGUUCAAAAGUGGAAGGACCAGGACCGCAAAUAGACCACUCUACGAAAACACAUGGAUCCCAAGGGAUCCGGAUCGGGUUGGCGGGCCAAGCUUCAAAACGAAACCGUUUCGGGACUUUUGAACACCGGCCAAAACGGUGUUGUUUAGUCUUGCUUAUAUAAAUCAAAAUUUUUUUAAAUCUGCUUAGGUUUUUAAAAAAAAUUUUGAAACCCUUUCUUUUUCUCUCAGCCUUUCUUUAGGUCCGGCCUUUGGCCCGCCGAUGCUCUGCCAUGGCCACCGAUCAUCGGCGACAACAACCGUCCCCUCCGAUGGCCGGAGUCCAAAAAAACCCAUUUUCAGCCCUUUUCAACCCUAAAACCCGGAUCUAAAGGCAAAUGCCUUUAAAAAAACAAAAAAAAUGAAAAAGAUUUCGGAUUUCCCCCUUUCUGGUCGCGCCCUUUUGUAUCCCCUUUUAUUGAAGCCCAGACGAAACCUAAUGGGUUCGACGACUCUCAAGAUCGAGGGAGACCCCCGACGGCGGCGCGAGACGAAGCCAGGGAAAAGGUUUUAUAUUUAUUUAUUGUUUUUGAAUCUAAAGAAACAAAGUAAAUCACCUUUUUUUUGCUUAAUGUUUGUAUCCGAUUUUUAUUUCAAUCUUCUCAGGCGGUGAGCACGCUGACGUGGUGAGGCGCGGUGCAAAAGGGGAUCUAGGGUUUUUAGCUUUCUGAAAAUAGUUUAGGUUAUGGGCUAUUUGGCUUUAGGUUAUUGGGUAUUAGGUUUAGCAUAUGGGUUGGGCUAUUGGGCUCUUUUUGUUUGGGCCAAUCUAGUUUGUAAAUGGACUUAGACUUUUAUUUUUCAUUUUUAUUUUGUUUAUUUAUUUUUGGUUUCUAUUUGGGUCAGAAAAAAUUGGGCCCUUACAAUGCUAAUAUAAUUCAAAUUCAAAUAUAUAUUGUGUUAAGAAUAAACUAAAGUAAGUAUAUAUAACAAGUAUCAAUUACGUAAAUGAAUACUACUUUAACUUAUCAUAUCAUUUUCCAACUUUCAUAUUCAUUUCACAUUUCAAUAUAAAUUUCAAUGCUUAUUCAUUUUUCCCCUAUUAUCCAAUGAUAGAUAUUAGAAUGGAUACUUAAAUCUGUAUAUAUCAAGUAACUCCACAACCCUUUUGGAAACUAGGACUAUUUUAUUCUGUCAUCCCGGGUUGCUCGACAACGAUGAUUUUCAAUAUUUUUCCCACUAUUUAUUCAACCAUUCUGGAUUUCCCGACAACGAUGGCUACUAAAUCACUAUAUUGAUGACCCUAUGGCAUUCCAACUAUACCCGAACUACGUCUAACAUCGUUUAAUGGGGCAUUAACAUCAUAUUCACUGCUCUAACAUAUAUCAUUAUAAUACCAAUGUCCAAAUAUUCAUAGUCACAUCCAAAGCAAUUUCAAAUAUUUAUCACAUAAUUCAAAUAUCACCAAUCAAAUCCAUUAUUCAAAGUUGAUAGGGAAAGAUGCCAUUAAGUCAUAUUGAUUACAACGACUAAUUAAUCUACGAAAGUAAAUUGGAAUUGAAUUACAAAAGCACAAACCACAAUAGUUAUUUGUGUUCACUUUUUCUUUCCCCUUCACCUUGGACAUUCCAACAUCGUCUUUCACUACGAUCGAUAAUACAGUAUAAUCAUACAUAUCUUAUUUACCAAAAUUUUAUCGACUUAACAAGAAUAUAUAUUAUUUUUAUUAUAUAUUUAUAUAUAAUGUUGAGUAUGCCUCAUAUUUUAGUCAAAUUUGAGAGAUAAUCUCACAGUUAAACUCUGUUUAUUUGUUUCAGUCAAACUCUGACUAGUCUAUAUUAUUUUAUUAUUAUUUGACCUUCAAAUUUAGCCUAUAAUAGGCUCUUUUACAACCUUAAAAAAAAUACACUCAUUAAAUAUUAGAUCUCAUAACACUUUUGAAGAAUUUUGUGUUUACGUUUUGAGGGUUCUUUGUUUUCGAGUUUCGAGGUUUAGUUUUUUAUCUCCAUCUUUUGUACUCUUCAUUCUUUUGUCAUUAUAGUAAAAUCAUCUUUGCUCGUGGUUUUUUUAUCCUCUUUGAAGGGGUUUUUCCACAUUAAAUUUGUGUGUACAAUUUCUCAAUUUCUUCUGCUAUUUUUACUUGUUCAUUGCUUAAUCGGGUUAAUUCCUAACAAGUGGUAUCAGAGUUAGUUCGAUUUUCAUAGAUCAACUCAUUCAGAUAUGGCAGCAACAAAAUUUGACAUUGAGAAGUUCGAUGGUGUCACAAAUUUCAAUUUGUGGAAAGUUCGGAUGAUGGCAAUUCUAGUUCAAACUGACCUGAAAAAGGUUGUUACUGGGAAAAAGCCUGAGAAUCUAGAUCAGACAGAGCGAGAAGAGCUUGAUGAAAAGGCCCCUGUCUACAAUUUAGUUGUGCCUCGCGAAUAAGGUAUUACAGGAGGUAUUGAUGGAGAAAAACCUCAUCCGCCUUGUGGAAAAGGUUAGAAACUCUAUAUGCGACUAAGUGUCUAGAUAACCAUUUAGUAUUGAAACAACGUAUUUUUACGUUUCGCAUGAACGAAGGUGAGCUUCAUAGAGAUCAGACUAGUCAAUUUAUUACUCUUUUGAAUGAUUUAAAAAUGUUGAGGUUAAGAUUAACGACGAAGAUCAGGCUAUGUUAUUAUUGUGCCUUUUACCCCCUUCAUACAAGUCUUUCAGGGAAAUCCUAAUUUAUGGUAGAGACAAACUCUCGUUUGAGGAUAUGAAGGGUCAUUUGUUGAGUAAUGACAAACUCGAAAAUGAUUUUGGUUCGAAUAGCAAGGCAGAUAGGCAAGCUUCCAUUUUGGUAGCAUCAAAGAAGUGAGACAGAAUGUGUCGCUAUUGUAAAAAGUUAGGUCACAUCAAAGCAGAUUGUUAUAAACUGCGAAAUAAAAGGGAUGCUGAGAGUAACGAGGAAGAUGUAGCUACUGCUAAUUUAGAUGACGAAACCAGUGAUGAUUUCUUGUUAGUGUCAAUAAGCGAAAGCUCCGAGCUUGCGUCUGAGUGGAUCCUAGAUUCGGGAUGCUCUUUCCACAUGUGUACAAACAGAAAAUGGUUCUCCACAUACAGUUUGCUUGAAGGUGGAGUUGUACGCAUGGAAAAUGAUUCAUCCAUUAAGGUAAUCGGUAUUGGUACUAUUAAAAUUAGGAUGCACGAUGGGACAAUUAGGACAUUCUUAGAUAUCAGGUAUGUACCUGAUUUACAAAAGAAUCUCAUCUCCUUGAGUAUUUUAGACUGGAGAGGUUAGAGAAUCAACAUUGAGUCGAGCGACAUUAAGGUGUCUCGUACGGCUCUCGUUUAGUUAAAAGGUAAAAGAACCGACAAUCUUUAUAUUAUGACAGGUUCUAUAGUGAUUGGUGAAAUCAGACAUCCCUCAUCUAUUACGAAGUCGAAGUCAACUCAUUUAGAGUGGAGGCAACUUGGUCAUAAGAGGGAAAAAUGUAUGAUCAUUUCGUUGAAGAAAGGCUCUCUUUUGGAUGCAGGUUUUGAAAAGUUAGGGCAUUGUGUUCGUGAAAAUCAGACCCGUGUUAGUUUUGGUUUGACAGUGCACAAUUCGAAGGCUAGAAGUCUUCUAGCUUCUAAGCAUAUAUUCGACUUAGUUAAUUCCCUGCAUAGUUCAAGAUAGUCCCAUGGCAGGCUUUGGCAAAGAUGGAGUUGUGGAAAUACGAGUCAAGGUGGAGAUUUGUUGAGUAUGCCUCAUAUUUUAGUUAAAUUUAAAAGAUAAUCUCUCAAUUAAACUCUGUUUAUUUGUUUCAGUCGAACUCUAAUUAUUUUAGAUUAUUUUAUUAUUAUUUGACCUCAAAUUUAGCCUAUAAAUAGGCUAUUUUACAACCUUAGAAAAUACACCCAUUAAAUAUUAUAACUCAUAACACUUUUGGAGAAUUUUGUGUUUACGUUUUGAGGGUUCUUUGUUUUUGGGUUUUGAGUUUUAGCUUUUUAUCUCCAUCUUUUAUACUCUUCGUUCUUUUGUCAUCAUAGUAAAAUUAUCUUUGCCCGUGAUUUUUUAUCCUCUUUGGAGGGGUUUUUCCAAAUUAAAUUUGUGAGUUCAAUUUCUCAUUUUCUUCCGCUAUUUUUAUUUGUUCAUUGUUUAAUCGGGUCGAUUCUCAACAUAUAAUAUUUUAUACUUAAGAUUUUAAGAACAUAUCCUAUUUUAGGUGUAAUAGUAUAACAAAAGAACAUAUGAUAGUGGUAGUAUUUGAACUUGUGGGAUUAAAAUAUUGUACUUUUAAUUUAUCGAAAUAACCUCUUGUAUAUUAUCUUAACCAAUAAGUGAUUUUGAGAUUUCAAGUUUCUUUUUUGAAUUAUAAGAGGAGGGUAAAGUCUUAAUAGUGAGACGACUAGCAUGAUUCAAACUCAAGACACACCUGAGACGAUAAACACUCUGACCAUUAGGCUAAUAUAGAAAUUUUAGUCUAUAUUAUCCUUUCUUUUGUAAUUUUCAUUUACCUUAAAAUAAUAACUGUUUUUCAUAGUUUUUAAAUUCAUCAAUUUAAAAAUAAUUCUAAAACCCUAAAGAAAGUUGGUCGAAUAAGUAAUAAAUUUAUUUAUUUUAAAAUGCUAACAAGUAAACAAAUACAUUUGAUUACUAAGGAUUAAAAGAAACAUGAUAAACAUUUUUUAUUAAGUAAAAUUUUAAAAUAUUAUACCAAAAAAAAUUAGUAUUUCAAAUACUAUAGAGUCGUAUUAUUCUUGCUUUCCACUAAUAUUUCCUAAGAAACUAGUAUCAGUAAUGAAAAUAUUGCCCAUAAAGACUGCUGGUGGACUGAGGACUUAAAUUCAAUCAAGAGCAUGUCAAAAGGAAAAGAAAAGAGUAAAUAUCACACAUGCCCUCAAAACAUUUGACAUCAAUUAUUUUGAUAUUUACAUUUCGAUUGGUGAAGAAAAAUCGAACUACAUUAACUGGUUAAAUUAAGAAUUGAUAUUGAAUGAUAAAAAAAAUCAGCACAAAAUUUAAUUAGAAAAACCAAUUUUUGAUAUUGAGUUUUUUUAUAUUAAAAUUAUUUUUCUGCAAGUGAUCAGAUUAGAAGUUUAAACUUAAUAGCCUUUUAUAUAUAUUAAAUAUGAUAACAUUAAAUCAAGUACAUGAAGAACAUAUAUAAGCAAAAAUCUGUCUAUUGAAUUAUGUCAUGAACAAAAAUCAAGAGCAUGCUAUGUAUACAUAUAGGGGCUUCAACACAUCAUCUUGCUUUCCCACAUUCACGCAUAUCUAUAUAAACAAGUACAGGGACCUUUAUUCAAUACUUAAAGUCUGCAGCCAUGCUAGACCGACUGGAAGGAACAAAACAAAUUUAACUAAUAAAUUACUACUUUUUAAACAUAUUUAAUAUCAAAAUUAUAUUUAAGAUUUAAUUUAUAUUUUAAUUAAAUAAUUCCGUUUGACCAAUCCAACCGAUAGAAUAAUUAAAUAACUUAAAAUUCACAUCGAUUUGUUACAGAUGGGGCCCUGGGAAGGACCAAAAAGAUAUUUGUCUGAAAGUUUAAAGAUAAAUAGAGGAUAUUUACUUUGUAACACACAUUUAAACAUUUAUCUACUAAUUUUUUAAAGACAUCAACUUUGAAUGAAAAGAAUCAAACAAAAGACAAACCAAUAUUGCUUUUAAUCUAUUUGCAAAUCUCAUUCAAUGGGCCCUACAUGCAUUUUGUUCUAUAAUUGGUUUCAUGCAUUUAUGUGGUCUUUUUUUGACUUAAAAUCACCAGUAUUUUGUUUUUACCUAUAAAUACAUGCAACGAUUGCAUUCUUAUCCUCACUCAAAUUCUGUGCCAAAUUUGAAGAGCAAACCAAAAAAAAAGCGGCAAAUUAAGCUUUCGAAUAUUUGCUUUUGUUCAAUCCAAAUGGCUUCACAAGUUUCUCAAUUGCCUUCUUCAUCACCCCUUACUUCCAAUAAGGAUGAAAUGCGCCCCAAAGCUGAUUUUCAGCCUAGCAUUUGGGGAGAUCUCUUCCUCACUUGUCCUAAAAAGGUAUACUAAUAUAUGAGCAUAUUGACAUAUAAUGUUAACAUAUUAUUUGUUUAAUUAUUUAGUGUUUCAGUAUGAAUAAAAUUUGCAUUAUUUUGAGCAGGAUAUCAAUGCAGAAACUGAACAACGCCACCAACAAUUGAAAGAAGAAGUGAGGAAGAUGGUUGUGGCACCGAUGAAUAAUUCAACCCAAAAGUUAAACUUCAUUGAUUCAGUACAAAGACUGGGUGUGAGUUACCAUUUCACAAAAGAGAUCGAGGAUGAACUAGAGAACAUCUACCAUAACAACAACGAUGCCGAGAACGACAUCUACACUACAUCUCUUCGAUUCCGAUUACUCCGAGAGCAUGGAUUCAAUGUUUCGUGUGGUAAUUAUUGGAACAACAUAGUGCUUUUAAGUUUUAUGACUAUAUAAUAGCAUGGAAUGUUUGAAAACGAUAUUUUGUUUCGGGUGAUUUGAUCGCAGAUGUAUUCACCAAGUUUAAAGAUGAGCAAGGGAACUUUAAGUCAUCUAUGACAAGCGAUGUUCCAGGAUUGUUGGAACUUUAUGAAGCUUCCUAUUUAAGGGUUCAUGGGGAAGAUAUAUUGGAUGAAGCAAUUUCUUUCACCACCAACCAUUUAAGGCUUGUAGUAGCAUCUUUGGAUUAUCCUUUAUCCGAACAGGUUUCUCAUGCUUUGAAACAAUCAAUCCGAAGAGGCUUGCCAAGGGUUGAGGCGAGGCACUAUCUUUCAGUAUACCAUGAUAUUGAAUCCCAUAAUAAGGCUUUGCUGGAGUUUGCAAAGAUUGAUUUCAACAUGUUACAACUUUUGCAUAGGAAAGAGCUAAGUGAGAUUUGUAGGUAUGUGUUUUUGAAUAUUUUUCAUCCAUUUCUUCUUUUUUCACCUUUUUUUUUUCAAUUUAUAGGAGGCUUCAUCCUCAGUAUAAGGGACGGGUUGCAAAUACUAAUAUUCAAAUCUUAAACGUAUUAAAUUACAUUAGUUAAAAGUGAAGACAUGAACUUUGGACUCAUCUUUUUCACCUAUUUCAUUUAACGUAUGAAGAUAUAUAUAUAUAUAUAUAUAUAUAUAUAUAUAUACAAACUUGAGAUUUCCAAUAGAAUUAAGAAUCUAACAAUUUACUCUUCAACAACAUGAAUGUGAAACUAAUAAAAACUUUGAAGAUUCAUUGUGCUAAUGAGGUUUUUUAUGAUAUAUUUUUUAGGUGGUGGAAGGAUUUAGACUUUCAAAAAAAGUUGCCAUAUGCAAGAGAUAGAGUGGUUGAAGGUUAUUUUUGGAUCUCAGGAGUAUACUUUGAGCCCCAAUAUUCACUUGGUAGAAAGAUGUUGACAAAAGUGAUAGCAAUGGCAUCUAUUGUAGAUGAUACAUAUGACUCAUAUGCAACAUAUGAUGAGCUCAUUCCCUAUACAAAUGCAAUUGAGAGGUUAGAUUUCUUUAGUUAGAGAUUAACAUUCAGUUAUAUAUUACGAGGAAUGAUUGAAUAUAACGUUGAAGUUGGAUUCAGGUGGGAUAUCAAAUGCAUAGACCAACUUCCAGAAUACAUGAAACCGAGCUACAAAGCACUAUUAGAUGUUUAUGAAGAAAUGGAACAACUGAUGGCUAAGCACGGAAGACAAUAUUGUGUCGAAUAUGCGAAAAAUGCGGUAUAUACAUCAAGAAAUAUUUAUUUUAUACAAAAGAGAUAAGACCUUAGCUAAAUUUUAUAUUUGAAUAAACAAUUAACUUAAAUAACAUUAAAAUCAUUUAAAUAUUAUUAUCGAAUUUGACUUGAUAUUAGUGAUAAUUGUUGGGAUUUUGUUGCCUCAGAUGAUACGACUUGCUCAAUCUUACCUUGUGGAGGCCAGAUGGACUCUUCAAAACUACAAACCAUCAUUUGAGGAGUUUAAGGCUAAUGCUUUGCCAACUUGUGGUUAUGCCAUGCUUGCUAUAACAUCUUUUGUCGGGAUGGGAGAUAUCGUAACACCAGAGACCUUUAAAUGGGCUGCCAAUGACCCUAAGAUCAUUCAAGCUUCCACAAUUAUUUGUAGGUUUAUGGAUGAUGUUGCUGAACACAAGGUAUAAUAAUAUAUUUAUAUAAUCACAAGAAACUAAGCUCUUAACUCAAUAAUUGAAUGUCUCUGUAACGAAAUCAAAAAUGGUUUUUUAUCAUGAUCUAAAACCAUUAAAGUUUAAUAUUUAUAUAUAAAUGUUUAGUCUUAAAUUGAAGAAUAAGAAAAAAAAAAAGAGUUUCAUUUUAGGGUUACUAGGGAGGAAAUGUUGUCAAAAGGUAAUUUAUCAUCACUAAACAAAUGUAGUUUAAUAAACUGAUAGAUUUUAGUGUAUAUAGUGAUAGAAUAAUUUUGAUUUUAUUACGGCUGC